ACCAUAAUAACUAGAACAAUUUUUUUUUUUUUUUUUGAGUUACUAUAGUAAUACAAAAGUCAUGUGCAAGACAUUGUGAUCACAAUGAUUAUUUAAUUUGUAACUUCACUUAAGGACUGAGGCCUAUUAAACUAAUUGAUAAAAUUUGAACAGUCUAAUUGCCAAAAUUUAAAGUUUAGAGAUAUGUUUACAGAAGUGCUAAAGAUUAGGAGGCUUUAUACAUUUUUUAAAUAGAAAAAUAAAAGUUUAAGGGUCCAUUUCUCUAUACAUUUUCAGGAUGAGAAUGCUACAAAUACACCGUGCAUGAUAUACACCACCAUCCAUCUAAUAGGAGGAAUAUUAUUGGUGAACCCUUGGAUGAAGUGUAUGCCUUAUGUCUUUUACAUCCGAGGGCUAUUAUUUAUUGUCUAUUACAUUAAUUUUUUUAAUUUUUUUUAAAAGUCAUGUCACAUUAUUUUUUUUUUUUAAAUUUUAGGAUGGAGGGUGUAAAAUCUACACUCCUUUUGUGGGAUGUGUAAAUAAAAUUUUUCUUUAGUAGAUAGUGGCAUUUAUUAGCCAUAUCAUAUAACAAAUGAAAUAUCUCUACCCAUUCAAUGGAUGAAAGUGUAAAAUUUGCACCCAAAUGGCAAAUACCAACAGCAUUUAUCUUUGAGUUUUGCCUUAGUUCCUGACAGUUUCUUUUUUACUGUAAUUAACUUAGAACCAUCUAAUAUUUUUUUACUUUUGAUAAAAUAGCCCACACCAACUCUAAUAAGACUCUACUUGCUCAUAUAAACCGUAAAAAUGGUAUAAUAGCCUCCUCAAUCUUGCAAUCGAUUUUUAAUUUUUUUGAAAGAGUUUAGUGGCGUAUCCAACUCUACGCUAUAAUAUUAAAAUUUUUAAAUAAAUAGGAAGUGUUGCGUACAAAGUCGAGGCAAUUUUAGAUGCUGAAAAUGACUUAGAGGGUGAUGAGACUAGAGUUGACGCAAUGAGUGUGGAUAGGAAAGAAGAAGUUUGGGAUCAAAGUGAAAAAAAAAUUGUAAUAUUAAGAAACAAUUGUGUGAUUAAUCCUAAUGAUUAACAGGGUUUAAUUGCAUAAUAUAUGCAUAUUAAAAAAAAAAAUUGACAUGAAUUAAAAUAAAAAAUUGGGAUAAAGGAUGGGAAUUAAUGGUGCAAUUAAUUGAUAAUUUAAAAAUCAAGUCGAAUCUGGUUGGAUCGUAAUCCAGUCAUAUAAAACGGUUUGGUUCAUUCCUUUGAACCGAAUAAGUCAAAACAAAUUGUUUUGAACCGCUCGGACUGCCGGUUCAACAAUCGAACCGAUGAACCAACCCAAUUUUAAUCAAGCCGGCUGAAUUUUUUUUUAUCAAAUCAUAUUAAAAUCAAGCGACUUAAAAUCAAUCCAACUCAUUUCAUUUUCAAUUAACACCGGUUAGUCUUAUAAAAAGUAAAGUUUGAAAAUUUAUAUCUACUUAAUUUAGUUCAGAAAUCAAUAUUUUAUAAUUAAAUAUAAUUAAUAUUUAUAUAUUUCUAAUUAUAUUAGAAUUAAAAAUAAUAAUUAAAUAUAUUUAGGAUGUCAUGCUGACAUCAUUUGAACCAAUUAUCUAUUUUUGUGCCACUUGUUUGCGCCGAGUUAUAAAACAUUGAAAUUAAAAUCCAGCCGUAAUUUUCAGAGGACUGUACGGAGCCCAAGCGUUGGACGGACGAGAUCUUCCAGAUUCGUUAAACAAUUCGAGCCGACAAUGUGGACGGUCGAGAUCGCCGAGUCAUCUCUGCGCGUCCUCUCCGUCUCACUCCGCCACUCUCGCCGACCAUCCGGACGAUGUCGUCGGCCCCGGUGCGGUGCUCCGCCCGCUGGAUCUCGUCACCGCAGGUGAGGAUAAGAAACCCCUCACCAUCUUCGAUGGUUGCGCACUUGUGCUUCGUCUCUAAUCUCUUCCUCCUCCUCCUCCUCCUCCUCCUCCUCAUCUCUGAUACAAAAUCAUCAACCAAGUUUAAUUUCAGCUUAACAAUGGCGCCUCUCCCCCGAGCUUCACCUCUAGGGUUUCGCCCUGCGGCAGAGCACGUCGGAGAGUUUCCUCUUUGUGCUCGUUUGUAGCCCCCAUGUGCUGCUCCAAGAAUGAUCAUGGUGAGGUGAGAUUGAUUUAAUCCAUUCCAUCCUGAUUGGUUCCUGGGCUUAAUUAGAAUUAGGUCAUCCUCGGGUGCUUAUUUUGCGGAUUUUUGUACAUUAUAUGUGAUGUGCUCUGGCUAAUUCUCGGUAUUUUGUGAUUUGCAAUGAAGUAAUAAGAUAGUAUGUUCCAAUGGAGCAGAUCCGUAUCAGUAGUUAUACCUUCAUUCAGAUAUAAAUAAACUAUGUUUAGAUUGUCCAAAAAUAUUUGUAUGAUCAUGAAUAAAUGAUCAAGGAAAUUCUUGAAUUAUAGAUGGUGUGUUGACCUGUUUUUCGGGAUAAAUGGUGGUAUAAUGUGAUAUGUUUCUAGAUUGGGAUCUCAUUCCCUUCCCCCUUAUCUAUCUCUAUCUCUCUAAUAUCUUUUUCUUAGGAGGUUCGAUCCUCUCGAAGUGAUCGUUUAUCCCUAUUGAUACAAUAGAAUCGUAUCAUAAUGUUAAUAAAGUAGCGGAUUAAGUUGUCUUUGUAUUUUCUUCGAUUUUGGAUGACUGUAAUUAGAUUAUAUUCUGUCAGGCGGAUGCAGGUCAUGUUGGGGAUGCUGAAGUGGUGUCUGUGGAUCCGACUGGUAAUUUUGUUUGCGGCACAUCGUAGCUUUGGUCAUUUAUUUUAAAUCUUAAUGAUAUUUAUGUUAACAUUGUUUAUCACAUUUUUUACCCCUUUUUUUUUGUUUUUAUGGUUUCAGGUUCGGAGCAGUGUGGUGGCAAACAAUCUAUUCGAUCAUUUUCAUCGAAAGAGUACUCUUUUCUUGCUGUAAAUACAAAGUCUACUGUAGACAAAAAUUAAGGGACUAAGGGCUUGAUUUGGUGUUGUUGCCGUCUUUUCAUUCUUUUGAAUACGUAUUCUGUGUGAUCGGACCUGCUGGGCAGAUGCACUUUCUCUACUCUUUUUAAUGUUGGUUAUCUGGUGAUUAGAUGUAGAACGGCAUGUUGUUCGGAAAACCAGAGAAGGGAAAGUUGCUAUGAAAUAUUGCUUUUUGUUGCCAAAUCUUGUAGAUGUAUAGAUUGCAAGCAGUCAGUCUUCCACUGUCACAUUCCUUUGCAUAAGAUUUGUGUUAACAAAAAAACAACAAAAAAGGCAGCAGUACUACGUGAGACCUAAAUUCCUGACUCUAUAUUUGAAUUUGGUGAACUGCAUUGCAGAAAGAACUCAUCGAAACUUUUAGGAGAGAAGAUUGAUUUUUAUGCUACUAAUAAAUAGGGUUAUUAGAUGAGCUUACGAUCACUUGUGCUGGUAGAGGAAAUGUGACUCAUUGAUCUAAAUGUGGUAGAAGACUGUUGAUAUGUUAGGACAAGGCUUAUUUUGUUGUGGUUAAUAUUGUAAAUAGUAGUAAUCAUCAAUCUCAGUCAUCACAUAAGUCCCUCAAGAUAACAAGGUUCAUAUAUUCUGUCUCCACUUUAAUUCCUCUUCUCCAACUUGUUAAUAUUUAUAGUGGGUCCUCUUUGCAAUAUGGAUUAUUCCGUGAGAAACUAAGGAGGUUAAUUGUAAUUUGGACUCCAUGGACUCCAUUGUAUCAAACUUUAUUGAAUUUCUUCUUGCAUUUCGAUAUGCUUAUUCAUUUAUAUCGUUGAAAGUUUGAAGAUUUCAAAGCCUUCUUUUAGUUGUGGAACUCAUGUCAAUUUGUUUCGAUUUCCAUUAACCACAUGUUUUGUUUAUGUCAUUCAAUUGUAUAUUACAAGAAUGAGUUUUAAGUGUCCUGUGAUUACGCACAGCUAAUCUUGGAAAAUGAAAUUUUGGACUGUCUAACUGGAGUACAAAUUCAAUGUUCCUCAGGUUGCUGCAGAAGUUAAAGAGAUAUGGUACUGCAGGGGUAUUAUCGUAUGGGCUACUUAAUACUGUAUAUUACCUCUCAACUUUUCUCUUGGUCUGGUGAGUAAUAUUUACUAGAUUUUUAUAGUUCUUCAUAUACCUCUGAACAGCAGUUUGAGUGCUUACAGCAUAUAUAAUUGAUACUUGCACGGGGAGAUCUAAUUAAAUGUUGAACUCUUAUGUCUCCGAAUCUGUGCUAAUUGUUUAAUAUACCAAUAUGAGAGAGAGGAGUGGGGGGCUGUAUUGUCAUUCCAGUGCCAUCUAUUAGAGGUCUUUUUCCCCCCUUCUCUUCAAUCACUCGCAAUAUUUUGCUUUCCAGGUUUUACUUUGCUCCAGCUCCUGGUAGGAUGGGCUAUGCUGCAGCUGUUGACAGGUUAUGACUGGAAUAUUUUUACUGUUCAGGUCAUAUUCUAGAAUUCUUACUAUCAACUAAUGCUUUCCUUCGUAAUACAGAUUUCUCAAAUUAAUGGCGAUGGUGUGGGCCGGCAGCCAAGUAACCAAAAUCUUACGAGCAGGAGGGUUCGUUCAUAGUCCUUAUUUAUUGACAUCUAGUCUAUUCUACUGAACACUAUAUAUUCUGAGAGAGAAUUGUAUUUCUGGUCAAACCCAAUUAUAAUGUCCAAUUAAACAUAAAAUUGUUUUUUCUUGGUUAUCCUUGGAUGACGCUGCAUAACCCAUUGAUUGGAAAAGGUUACUCCCACUAAAUUUACAAUCAAAGCUAUUCCGAAGGAUUGAUUUGCUUUUAUUCACUAUGCUAGGGCACUUGCGCUAGCUCCUUUUGUUGACAGAGGAUUGUCAUGGUUCACAGUCAAGUUCAAGUUUGAGUCUGAAACAAAGGUGCAAGUUAGAUCAAUGUACCCAUUUUUUAUUGAAGCAUUUCAUCUAACUUUUCUCUACCCUUUCAGGCAUUUGCUGCGAUCGUAGGUCUAUGUUUUGGACUGGCCCUUCUCUUGUUCCUGGGGUUGACAUUGCUUUGGGCGUAGACAUUCAAUUAAUAAGGGGAAUCACUUUGAGAUACAUUACGAAUUAAGAAAUUAUUUUGUUGCGUAAAUUUCUCAUGUUUUUGGUAGUAGAUGAUUGUCAAUGUUACAUUAUAUGUAAUGUUCAUUAUAUUGCAACAAAUAUUGUAUUAGUGUCAUUAAACAUCUUCCCAAUUUCAGGUGAGGAAUCUGGAGGUAGAAAUUUAUGCUGUUUUCUAUUUCGGAAAAGCUGACCCAAGGAAGAAAAGAUUGUUUUCAGUAAAUUUAUUAUCAAGCCUAGUAUUAUUUCUGCACCUUUUUGGUUAAACUUCGGGAAUUGUCAAACUUUGAGAAGGUCAUGUAAUUUUGGAAUGAUACCUAUCAUUACAAAUUGUGGUGUACAAAAUCAGUUUGAUAUAACUUGUAUGUAUAAAUUAUUUUAUUAGCUGUUGAUCUCUCAGUAAACCUCAUAUCAACAUCGAAAACUGUGAGGACAAAAUUAUCGAUGUAAGAGGGAUAUCUAAAAACGAAGAAAUUUACUUUGUUUAAUAUCUUUGUUUUUUCACCUACGGCACUGUUACAUUUAAGCAUCGAGUUACAGAAAUAGUAAGUUUUUUCAUCUGCAGUAAUUUUACAUUUAGUUUUGAAUUCAAAAUAUUUGUAAUGUUUGUCCGUUGUUUGAUGGACAUUUACCCAAUCCCGCUCUUUUGGAUUCUUCUUGCGGAUCCUCUCUUUUCUUUGAUAUCUCUCAUGCUUCUUAACCCGUCGCCUGUUAAGCUUUCUUAUCUUAUUUCAUAAAUUGAAUUUUUGAAUUUUUUAUUAAUAUUUAAAUACUAUUUAUUAGAAUAUGUAAUUAGGCUGUAAUGUUUUUCAUAGUACUAUGUAAUUGAUAUUUGUAGAUCUUCGGCCUUUGGAUGAAAAACUGUGGGGUUAGAACAAUAGCGAUUUUUUUAGGAUUUAGUGGUGAUUAGUGAAAUAGUAAUGAUUGAUAAAUAGUCAAGGGGUGGAUCUAAUGGAUCUAAUGGUAAAAAAAUUAGUAGCAUCUAAGUAUUUAGUAGUAUUAGAAACACUUUAGUCGUGCUUUUAAAAUAUAUAAGAUUUUGUUUGGUAUUACAGGCCAGCUAAUACUAUAGAAUUAGAUAGAAUUGGGGUAAAAAAUAAUAAAAAUUAAAAUAAGUUACCACUUACAAAAAUUGAAGUACGUUAUGCUCCUCUUAGCUCUAGUGCAAGGUGUCCAUGAGACCGGGUAAAAGUUUUUUUUCUUUUUUCUUUUUUUUGCUGCAUUGUCUAGGCUCUGCUUCAUUCCGCUUCUUUUGGGUAAGAAUCAAGCAGGCCCAUUCAGAUCCAUAUUCUACAUAGAAUUGAUCAAAACUUGUUUGUUUGUUUGCUCAUUUAGCCUAUUUUAAGAUUUUAUAAAUCUAAUCGACAAAGUUAUAAAUGAACUAGAACUUAAACCACACAUCUCUUCAUGUUAGAUUUUGAUUUAAGUUUAUAGUUAUCUAAAUUGAAAAUAAAUUCUACUCUAAUUAGAAUAAACUUGGACUAUAUAGAGUAUAAGUGAGACUCUAAUUCAACUAGAGAUAGAAUUUGGCUUACCAUUUUAGCCAUAUAUUAUAUAUACAUACUAUGGCUAAGUUAAUAAAGCCGCAACUCUAAUUAAUUCGUGCUUUAAUUAUAUAGAGCUAAUUACGUUGUUAGUAGCCCUUUCAUAGGGAGUAACAACCUAAUCAGCCGGUGCACAUUGAACAGAGUCUUCUUUUUUUUUUUUUUUGAGAGAGAGAUAGGUAGCACACUACCCGCUUCGUUUAUUUUAUUUAGAAAUAAACUUAGCUUGAAAUGUGAAUCAAUUAGGAUUCGAACUUGGAUCUCGGGUACUAACCACCAAGCCCUUUGCCAUUCAACAUAGUCUUGAAGUUUAGAUCCAUCUAGUUUGGUAGCCAAACUAUAUAAAUUUCAUUAUAUUUUUUUAUUUUCUUUACUUGCGUUAAUUUUCUUGGAAAUUAUUUUUCACUGUUUCAAAUUUAACACCUGGAAAGUUAGAUUACAAAAGAAUAAUAUUUGACAAGUUUCUUUCUUUUUGUUGUAAACAAAUAAAUUUGGGCUUCAAAUCUUCCCCGUGUGUAUAUAUAUAUAUAUAUAUAGAUAAUGUUAGUGCAAUACACGUUAUUAAUUAUUAGAAAAGUUUAAUUUUUUUAAGUAUUUUUUAUUUUAGCGCAACUUUUAUAUGAUGCAAUAAUGUAUUUAAAUCUGUAUCUAAAAAAUUUAAAAUUAAAAUCCGCUAUUAAGAAAGAUAUGUAUUAAAUAGAAUAAUUCAACAAGUAAUCUCUAAUCAAAAUUUAUCUUUUGAAAAUAAAUAGAAAAACUAAAAUAUAUUAGGAAAAUAGAAAUUUGAAUUAAAUAGAAAAAUAAAAUCCGUUAUCUUAAAAGAAAUUAUUUUUAAAAUAUAAAUAGAUAAUAUCUAAAAAAGUAUUAUUAAAAUAAAUAAGAAAAUAUCUUUUACAGGAUUUUCACAUCCGUAAUUGUAUAUAGAAAACUUACUUUUGAAAUUAAAUCUAUAAAAAAUUAUAUUGUAGGAUUUUCACAUCAGUAUUGUUAUGGAGAGAUUUACAUAUUGAUUACGUCGGUAUUUCUAUAUUUUAUUUUAUAUGUUUAAAUUUUUCGUACGGAAAGAGAAAAUGAGGCGCGAUAUUUUUCCGCCCGAAAAAAUGGUCUGUCGACAGACCCAAUUUGAAUAUACUGUUUUUAUAUAGUGUACUCUAUAUAUAUAUAAUAUAUUUAUAUAGGAUAAUAUAAUAUACUAUAUAUAUAGAAUUAGGCUGGAAUACAUUAAUAGUAAAAUGCUCUUUUUAGCUAUCAAGUUUUUACUUGGAGAUGAAAAUUGUAGGGUCAGGAUGAUAUUAGUCAGUUAUAGUUGAGUGUCCCUAGGUUGAGUGGUGCUUCACUGGCUUUAAUAUUUAAUCUAAUGUUUAGAAAUAAUGAAAGAGUUGAUCAAAGGCCCUAGGAAACUGGUAGAACAAUAAGAUUUUGCUACUAAUAGACCAGUCCAACUCUAUAUAUAGUAUAUAUAUAUAUUAUAUAUAUAUAAUAUAUUAUAUAUAUAGAUGUUGAUAUAUAUAGGUAUCUAACGAAUGAAUGAUCAAAGGGUAGAUUUACGGGUAAAAAAUUUGCAAGCACUAGUACUUGAUGCUUGCUUACAAGCACAAAUCGGCGACUCUAGUAUAGGAAUUGGUUUCUUAAUCCUAUUGAAAGAUAUAGUUUUGUGGUGUUGUGAUUUUUGGCCAUCGGAUUAAUGGAUGUACUGGUUGAAUGAAUUGUUAUGUGUGACUCCUAGGGUUGAAGUAGUUUUGUGUUAAUAGUAUAAUCUAAGGAUGGAAAUGAUCAAAGAGGUAGAUCUACAUAAAAAAAUUUACAAAACCAAGUGCUUGUGCUUUUACAAACACCAAUACGGAUUCUAUUAGCGAUGAGCUUCUAUGCUUUUAAAAGCACCAAAUUAUUGAUGUUUGGUAGAUUUUUGACCAUUGAUAGGGUUUUACGUUAUGAUUGAUAUGGUUCCCCUAGGUUUGAGCAGGGUUGGUUGCAAUAGUUAUGAAUUAAACGUGAUUAAUGAUCAAAAUGAUAGACUAUAACGGUAAAAGACAAGCACCAAAUGAGUUGAUACUGUACAAGCACCGUAGCGAACUCUAUAUAUUAGCAUGAUUUAGGAGACAGUAAGAAUGUAUUUGUUGACUUGAGGCAUAAAAUGGAAUAAACACUUUAUCCUUCUAUUCAUCUAAACACUGCUAAGAGCGAGGGAGUUUAUUUAUCCCUCUUAACGGUCGAAUAACCCUUAAGAGGGGGAUUUGUUGUUACACCGUUGGUGAAUACAAAAUUUUCAUCUUGUAUACCGUCUGACUGCUUUAAUAUAAAAUAAUUUAUAUUAACUAUAUGAUAUUAUAUCAUUUAUUAAACUAAUUAGCUAAUUAAAAUUAACUAAUUUAAUAUAAAUAUUAUCCAAAUUAAUAUUGUUAUUAGUGCUGUUAUACGAAUAACGCUAUAUCUUUUGUAUUAAUAAUUAAUAUUUCCAACAAACUAAUUAAUGUAAUUAAGUUAAUUAAUUAAUUUAUAAUAUAUUUAAUGUAUUGCCUAAUUUGACUUUAUUAAAUAUUUAUUAGUUAGAUAUUUUAUUAAUUAACGAGUACCAUGGUUAAUUGAUUAAUGAUUAAUUAAUCUGGCUUAAUUGAUAUGUAUUAAUUAACAUUUAUGAUUUCUAAUAAUAUUCGUGUAAUUAAUUUUUUAAGAUAUAAAUUUGAGAUUUUAAAAUUUUAAAAUUUAAUUUUUGAUUUUUAAAAUUUAAAGUUUAUAUUUUAAUUUUAAAUAUAAUAUAAAUAUAAAAUUAUCUAAUUUAAUAUAAAGAAGAAGAAUAAUGAUUAUUAUUUUAUUUAUAACUACGCCUUUUAUCUUAUUCCAUCUCACCUAAUCAAACAUAUUUUUCUUAUUUAGGAAUACACCCAAUGUUCACUCAAACGCAAAAUUGAUCUAUCCGCUUAAUACCUCAAUUAUAUAUCGCCGGAAUAACCCCUGUUUUGCUUUUCUCCGAACACUACGAUUAAGAAUCCUAUGUAAUAUAUGUGAAUUAUGUUUGGAGACCCAUCUAUGUUGAUUCUUAACUCUUCCUCAAUUAUUCAUUAUUUAAUUUUUUGACAAUGUUUGAGGCGCGGGUUUAAUUUUCUUUUCAAAAAUUACGGUAUUUUUAUUUAAACGAUAAAAUUUUAUCAGAUUGAUAGGUAUUUUAUCAAUUUUUUUCCUAUAAGUUCAAAUUAUUUUUAAUAAAUAAAAUAAAUUAAUUAAUAGUUAAGUAACAAGAAAUUUGAUAUAAAUUCAAUAAAAAAUAUAGAGUUGAGAAGUCAUUUGGGGGAAUGCAGGGUCAAGUAUUGCGUUUGAUUUGAGAAUUAAAUUUUGGAGAACAUCUUUUGUUGUUCUCGAGAAUAGAGGAUAUUCCGGUAUAAGUUGUAAAUUAUGUUUGGAUGUUGUUUGUUUAUUUUUAGAGAAUAUUCUUGAUAAUGUUAGGGUGUUUAUGUUGGAAUAAGAUGUUGAAAAUAUAAAAAUUAAAUAGGACGACAAAUUUGCAGGUAAAUAUAAUAAUUAAAUAUGAUUUAAUAAAUUAAGUAUUAGAAUAAAUUAAUAACAAAUUAAGUAUAUUUGUACAUUAUUUUGAAAAUAUUAAUUUAGUAGUAUUCAAUUUAAACAUUUAUUUAAAUUUAUUCAAAAUUAAUUUAAAAAUAUAAAUAUUUAAAAUGGAGUAACACUUAUUAAAUUAAUCAUUCAAUCUAUUUUCUUUUAUUUUAUUAAAUUAAAUAUUGAUUUAUAAUUUUUUUUGUUCAUUUGAGGCAAAGGAUUUAAAGGGCAAAAUGGAAAGUUUCAGAGGAAUCCAAGUUGUUCCGUCCAGUUCUCCCAACUGAGGAGAAUAGGCUUAACGGGUUAUUUUUGGAACAACUCAUUAAGCUGGGAACAAAAAAUUCUUUUUUUUUAUUUUCUUUUCGUUUGGGUAUUGAUUGAGGAAUAUUCCAUUUUGUUUUGGAAUAUUCUCCAACCAAACGCAACCUUAUAUAAUACAUAGGCUUAGCUCCACGUCGAUUGUGAAAUUAACCCAAGUCAAGAGGCAGUCCAUAUACUGCAUGAGCCGAGUUCCUUGCUCCCUCGUCCUUAGGUAUAGAUCAGUAUUUCAAUAAAUAAAUUUUUUUGUUUGCUUUAUUCUUUUUUUUUCUUUUUUAUAUUUUUUAUCUGACAAAUUAGAUUUUUUUAUAUUUAUAAUAUAUAAUUUGCAGCUGGUUAAAUGUUCUGUUUUUCCAUUUGUCCCUAAGCUAAUAUGCAGAUUUGAAUACAACAUAUCUAUAAAAAAAAAUCGUCUAAUUAUAUUAUGCUAGAAUUUCUAAUCCAAUUAUAUUAGGCAUAUAUAAUAUAUACUAGUAUAGUGAACCGCGCGUUGCGGUGAAUAGAUAAUAUCCGAUAUUUAACUUUAGUUUUUGUACUAAAUUUUUUUAAAAAAAAUUAUAAUAUUUGACUAUUUUUGUUACUAUCAUACUUCAAACAUAAAGAACAAACAAAAAGAAAGAAAAAUAAAACUAUAAAAGAAAAAAAUUUGAUGUAUGGAUAAUUUGAAGAAAUAUUUAAGAUCUUAUAAAAGAAGUUAAAGAAAGAAAAAAUAGUAAAUACAUAAGAAAAAUAAAAAUUUUUUAAAUAACAAACAAAUAAAAAUAGAAACAGCUAAAACAACAGUAGUAAGAGCAGCUAUAAAUACAAUGAAAUUUAGAAUUGUAGAAGUUGAAAAAAAAACUGCAAAAGUUGGCUCAAAGAAAAAUCAAUAGUCAGUAAAGAACGAAGGAAAGAAUGAAAUAAGACUAAUAGAAAAAGUUUUUAAAAAAUGUUACUAACCAACUAUCCCAAAAAUAUACGACUGCAAUAGUACAAAAAUUAAUAGUAGCAACAUAAAAACUUUUUCUAUUAGUCUUAUUUCAUUCUUUCCUUCGUUCUUUACUGACUAUUGAUUUUUCUUUGAGCCAACUUUUGCAGUUUUUUUUUCAACUUCUACAAUUCUAAAUUUCAUUGUAUUUAUAGCUGCUCUUACUACUGUUGUUUUAGCUGUUUCUAUUUUUAUUUGUUUGUUAUUUAAAAAAUUUUUAUUUUUCUUAUGUAUUUACUAUUUUUUCUUUCUUUAACUUCUUUUAUAAGAUCUUAAAUAUUUCUUCAAAUUAUCCAUACAUCAAAUUUUUUUCUUUUAUAGUUUUAUUUUUCUUUCUUUUUGUUUGUUCUUUAUGUUUGAAGUAUGAUAGUAACAAAAAUAGUCAAAUAUUAUAAUUUUUUUUAAAAAAAUUUAGUACAAAAACUAAAGUUAAAUAUCGGAUAUUAUCUAUUCACCGCAACGCGCGGUUCACUAUACUAGUAUAUAUUAUAUAUGCCUAAUAUAAUUGGAUUAGAAAUUCUAGCAUAAUAUAAUUAGACGAUUUUUUUUUAUAGAUAUGUUGUAUUCAAAUCUGCAUAUUAGCUUAGGGACAAAUUGAAAAACAGAACAUUUAACCAGCUGCAAAUUAUAUAUUAUAAAAAUAAAAAAAAUCUAAUUUGUCAGAUACAAAAAUAUGAAAAAGAAAAAUUUAAAAAAAAAGAAUAAAGCAAACAAAAAUUUUUAUUUAUUGAAAUUCUGAUUUAUACAUAAGGACGAGGGAGCAAGAAACUCGGCUCAUGCCUCUUGACUUAGGUUAAUUUCACAAUCCACGUGGAGCUAAGCCUAUAUAUAGGGUAUGUUUGACCCUCAUUCCCAAAUGACCUCCUCAACUCUUUUAUUAUUUUUUAUUUGAGUUUUUUUAUCAAAUUUCUUGAUUAUUAAUUAUUAAUUAAUUUAUUUUUAUUUAUUAUAAAAUAAUUUGAAUUAUUAAAUUUGAUAAAAUCACGAAUCAAUUGAUAAAAUUUUUAUCGGUCUAAAUUAAAAUUACUUCAUUUUGAAAAGAUAAAGUUAAACCGCUCUUAAUAAAUUAAUAAUAAUAAAGUUGAGGAAGAGUUUAAGAAUCAAACAUAUGUGAGGGGUUUCCAAACAUAUUCACGUAUAUUCAUUAUGUCUAAUCUAUAUAUAGAGUUUUGCUAUGAUACUUGUAAAAGCAACAAACAUUUGGUGCUUAUAAAUUUUUUAUCGACAUCAUCCAAACCGUACAUCCCUUAAUCCAAUGGUCAAAAAUCUACAAACAUCAAUAACUUGGUACUUUUUUUUUUGAAAGAUAGCUAGCACGCUACCUGCUUCGUUUAUUUCAUUUAGAAAUAGAAAUGUGAAUCAACUAGGAUUCGAACUUGGGANCUAUAGUUUUUUAACGUAUUUUAAACAAAAGAUCCAUGAAGUUUAUGAGAUCUAGUUCAAAUUGCCUCGGCUAGCUGCUAAGCUUUCAGCGUUGUAGCUUUUGCUCGACCUUCGUGCCUUCCGAGGCACGAAGGCUAUCGUAUCAUCGGAAUGAUAUAUAUAUAUAUAUAUAUAUAUANNNNNNNNNNNNNNNNNNNNNNNNNNNNNNNNNNNNNNNNNNNNNNNNNNNNNNNNNNNNNNNNNNNNNNNNNNNNNNNNNNNNNNNNNNNNNNNNNNNNNNNNNNNNNNNNNNNNNNNNNNNNNNNNNNNNNNNNNNNNNNNNNNNNNNNNNNNNNNNNNNNNNNNNNNNNNNNNNNNNNNNNNNNNNNNNNNNNNNNNNNNNNNNNNNNNNNNNNNNNNNNNNNNNNNNNNNNNNNNNNNNNNNNNNNNNNNNNNNNNNNNNNNNNNNNNNNNNNNNNNNNNNNNNNNNNNNNNNNNNNNNNNNNNNNNNNNNNNNNNNNNNNNNNNNNNNNNNNNNNNNNNNNNNNNNNNNNNNNNNNNNNNNNNNNNNNNNNNNNNNNNNNNNNNNNNNNNNNNNNNNNNNNNNNNNNNNNNNNNNNNNNNNNNNNNNNNNNNNNNNNNNNNNNNNNNNNNNNNNNNNNNNNNNNNNNNNNNNNNNNNNNNNNNNNNNNNNNNNNNNNNNNNNNNNNNNNNNNNNNNNNNNNNNNNNNNNNNNNNNNNNNNNNNNNNNNNNNNNNNNNNNNUUAGACUUGAUCUAGCGUAUUUGAAGUACCUAGAAAAUAAAUUAUGCAAUUUUUUGAUAUUAUUUGCCUAGUGAACGAAGGGGCUCAAAAUCAACGGCUGAAAAUAAAAAUCUUACAAAACGUGAUAAUAUGACGUUAAAAUUUUAGAUCACAGAUAUUGAUCUUGUUUUAUAUAGCAUAAAAAAUUUUCUAUCAAAAUUUCACGUGAUUCGGAUAUUUCUACAGCAUUAAACUUGCAAACGGCUCACUGCGAUCAUUAAAAUUAUUGAUUUUGAGCCCCUUCGAUCACUAGGCAAAUGAUAUAAAAAAAUCAUAAAAUUUGUUUUCUAGGUACUUCAAAUAAUCUAGAUCAAAUUUAACGGAGCCGAUCGACGAUUCGAAAGUCGCAACAUCGAAAACGAGCUGGAAGCACGGAAGGCUCCGUGCUUCCGAUAGUAUAUAUAUAUAUAUAUUUUAAAUUAUAAAAUAAAUAUUUAUAUAUUAUUAAAUAAAACUCUUAGGUCUAUGAUAAAAAUGAAAUUAAUUAAAAAAAAUAAAAAAAUAAACAUUCAAGAUGUGUCUAUUAUUAUUUUUUUUAAUGCAUAAAGAAAUUAUAAUGUUACUCGAAAAGUAAAUAAAAUUUGACCAAAUAAAUAAAAUCUGGGUGAGGUUAGAGAAAGAGAAAAAACUAAAAAAAAAAGGGAAAGAUUGGGAAAAAUAAAAUCUCACAAUAACCGGUGUAUGUUUUUUAUUUUAAAUUAAAUUUAAAUUUAAAUUUAAACUUAAAUAAUAAUUACUAAAAACUUACACAACGAAUCGAAAUAUAUAAAUCAAUCAUAUAAAAUACAUUAAUAACAUUAAUUUAUAUAAAAUUUUUUUUGAAUUAACAUCACAAAAAAAUAUUUUUACCUAAUAAAUAUAGAUUUAUUAAUAUUUUAUUUUUAAUUAUAAAUUAUGUAUGUUAGAUUUUAUAAAUUUUUAAUCCGUAUUUAUUAAUAUAUAAAAUUUCAAAAUAAUAUUAAUUUUGUGUUUGAAUAUUUAAAUGUUAGACUGGGCUUGCCCACAAUUCUAGUCGUAAUAACAAAUAUUAGUUUUGAACGUAUAAACUAUGUUAACUAGCGUAUACUUUUACAGAGAUUUUAAAAAAAUAAAUUAAUUGAUUUUAUAUAAUAAUAAAUGAAUAUUUUUUAUAUAAAUUAAUAAAUAAUUAAUAAAUAUUUCUUCUAUUUACUUAGGCAACGCUUCGUGACCAUGGAAUUGAUCAUAAUAUAAUUUAGAUUUAAAAAUUUCAUGUUUAAGUUUAUAUUGUAAUUUAAAUAAAUAUAUAUAUAUCUUAAUCCGACCUUAUGAUAAUUAUCAUUUUGCGAGAAAAACGAUAGUUCAAAAAUUGGGAACCUACUUUUUAACAUCCCAGUACUACUAUAAUCAGCCAAUCUCAACUCACCAGAGGGAUCCCAACUCACCAGGGGUGGACCAAUAUCAUAAAUUAGGUUACCAAUCUUUAUUACUUUUCUCAACUAGGUUUCCGAUUUUUUGACCAUCGUUGUUACUCUAAAACGAUGAUUAUCAUCGGGUCAGGUUGAGAGAGAGAGAGAGAGAGAGAGAGAGAGAGAGAGAGAGAUAUAUAUAUAUAUAUAUAUCACACUCCGACGAUAUNNNNNNNNNNNNNNNNNNNAUGCAUGCAACAAUAUAUAUAUAUAUAUAUAUAUAUAUAUAAAUCAAAGAACCGUUGGUAAGAAAUUUUUUUUUUUUUCUUUACAGCUUAAUGUUCACUCUUUUUUUCAAUAGUCUUACCCUCGUUGAUUUUUUCCAAUGGACAAUUUAUUUUGUCAUGAUUUGAUUAUGUAAUACCUAAAUUUAUAACCAAUGGGUUAAUGUUUAAAAUUGGUAUUCUAAACAAACUAAAUACAUAUACAAAUUUUUUUUGCAAAACAAUCAUAUAUAAAAGCAUUAUGAUUAGCAAAAAAAAAAUUAAAUAAUUAUUGUAAAAAUAUUUAUAAAUUGACAACCAAAUUAGAUUAUAUCAUAUAUAAUAGCAUUACGAUCAGGAUUGGGGAAAAAGUAAAAUUUUAAAUUAUUCACAGCAACAAAUUGGUAGGCAAAAAAAAAAGCAUAUACAUAAAAAUUAAAUCAGAGAACUUACAAAUUUUGAGACAAUUAAUCACGGAUCAACUGUACACAGAUAGUCAAUUUUCUGAGACAAAAUAAAAUUAUUCAGUUUUUUUUUUUUAAAAAUAAGUAGCCAAAUUAAAAUUCAAAUUGAAACAAAAUGAAAGGUGAAAACCAAAUCGGAGAAGAAAAUAGCACCAGUAGAGAAAUAGAGAUUUUUUACCGUAAAUAAAAAUUUUAUAGAGACAUAUUAUAUAGGCAAAAAAAAAAUCGCAUUCUACAUAAAAUAACCCUUCGGAUUCAACAAAUACAAAUAUUCGAUGAGUCGAAGGGAGCUUAGAGAAUGAAUCCGAACUAUUUUUGCAACCGAAUGGGGAUUAAUCGGUAGGAACUAAGCGUUGCUAAUAAAAAAGGUGCGACGGGAAAAAGGAUAGACAAUGAACUUGGCCCAAUUUUUUAUCUAGGAAGGACGCAUCAGGAGUCGGAGAAGCAUCUAGGGGGGCGAGCGGUAUCUAGGGAGGGCAAAAAAAAAUUGCAUUCAACAUAAAAUGACCCUUCGGUUUCAACAAAUAAAAAUAUCUGAAGAGUCAAAGAGAGCGUAGAGAAUGAAUCCGAACUAGUUUUGCAACCGAGGGGGAUUAAUCGGCAGGAACGAAGCGUUGCUAAUAAAAAAAGGCGCGACGGAAAAAAGGACCGACAAUGAACUUGGUCCAACUUUCAGUCUAGGGAGGACGCAUAAGAAAUUGGAGAGGCAUUUAGGGAGGCGAGCGGCAUUUAGUGAGGUAAUUUAGUAUAAUGAACUUAGUCCAAUUUUCUAUCUAGAGAGGACGCUUCAGAAGUUGGAGAGGCAUCUAGGGAGGCAAGCGGUAUCUAGGGAGGUAAUUUAGAAUGACAGGUAGGUCCCACAAAAGUCUAAAAUUAAGCUAAUAUCGUCACGUGGACAAAAAGGCAUGGAAAUUCAUAGGAGUUUAUAGAUGGCAUACAUAAAUGGCAUACAUAAAUGCCAAUUUUUUCGAAAGUUUGUAUGCAUUUAAUAAUCUAUAUGGCAUACAUAAAUGCAUAAAUUGUACACACAUGAAUCAUGCGUGUCACUGCUUUCUAAAAAAGAACAAUCCAAUUUAUAAAUCUAUAUGGCAUAGGGUUGGAAAAAUAUGCAUACGUAAAUACAUAAAUCGUACAUACAUGAAUGAGGCAUGCCAUCUCUAUCCGAAGAAGAUCAAAUUAUUUACACUUAAAAAUUUAACAGUCAUGCUUUUGGUGUUCAUGUAGCACAUCUAGAAUCAUAAAUGAUGCUUCGAUGUAUUGUCGCAGAAAGAAUCUAAUAAUAAACUCAAAUUAAAUCAAAAAUUUUGAAGUACCGGUACUAGUUUGCCAUAGUAUUGUUCAUGUAAUUGCUAUGUUCGCUGGUAUAAGAUGAAAAUUUUAUUGUUCAUGCAUAUGGUUCAAAACAUGUUAUAUACAUGAAACUUUUAACAGUACAUCAAUGCCCUAUAAAAAAACCUUAAUUGCCGUAAACUAUUCACCGCUUCUUAAAACUAACAAAUCAUUCAUCGCUUUUUCAUAACUCAUAAGUUUAUCACAUUCGAAUUCCAAAAAAUUUAUAUUAUUAAACUCUAAAAAUAAUUUUAAUAUUUUAAAAAAUGUAGUAAAUGAUUUAUUAUAUUUAAAAAGUAGUAAUUUAUUUACCACAAUAUAGAUAAAUAUUUUACUAAAUUAUUUUAUUGUUCAUGCAUGUGGUUCAAAACAUGUUAUAUACAUGAAACUUUUAACAGUACAUCAACUCCCUAUAAAAAAGGUUAAUUGCCGUAAACUAUUCAUUACUUCUUAAAAGUAAGAAAUCAUUCACCGCUUUUACGUAAUUUAUAAGUUUAUCACAUCCGAAUUCCAAAAAAUUGUAUAUUAUUAAACUCUAAAAAUAAUUUUAAUAUUUUAAAAAAUAUGGUAAAUAAUUUAUCAAAUUUAAAAAGCAGUAAUUCAUAAACUAUUUUUAUAAUAAUUAUAAUAUAUUUUACGUCUAUUAAUAAAAGAAAUUUUUUUUGCUAGAGUAAUAUAACGAUAAAAUAAUAGAAUAGUAAAAUAUUAGAAUAUUAAGUAACAUUGUUUUUAUCUAAAUAAUUUUUAUUAUAUGUUUUAUGUAAAUAUUUGUGGAAACAUGCAAUUUGGGACGACUUACAAGUGCUCGUACUGUCAAAGAGACGAAUUCAAUAGUCUCUCUUCUUUAACCUUGCAUGUGAACAAUUGUGCAUUGAGGCCCGGCGCCGGAGGAGUGCAGAAGCCAGAAAACGAGGGGAAUUGAGGGCGAAAUGACCGGGAUCAAGGGGCGCAGGAGCAAUAGAGCCACCCGGGCGUAGGGGUGGAAACGAGCCGAGCUUAUUUCAGCUCAAGCUUGGCUUGAAAUUAAUUUCAAUCCUAAAUUUAGGCUCAAGCUCGGCUUGAAAUUAAUUCGAGUCGAGCUCGAGCGAGCAUAACUUCGAGUCGAGCGAACUCGAGCCCUAAACGAGCCGCUUGAAAUUCUUAACAUCGUGCAAUCUAUAGUUUAAUUUUUAUAAAACAAUAUCUAAAAUUUGAUACAAAAAUAUCUAAUAGUUCAACAUACAAAAUAAAUGCAUGAAAUACGAUAUUAUAAUAUUAAAAAAGUAGGAAAAGUGACUCUGCGAGCAAGUGAAAAAAAGAAAGAGAGUAAUUAGAGUAGGAUUUUACUGGUUUGGUUUUGUUGGCCCAAUAAUUUAAAUUCUAUAUACAUAUAAUUAAAAUACAUAAUAUAUAUUAUUUUAUAUAAUUAAAAUAUAUAUUAUAUAUAAUUAUAUAUAUAUAGAGUCCGGCUACUAUAUUUUUAUAAGUAUAGACCCUUUAUACUCAUAAAUUUUCAACCGUUAGAUCUAUUCUUUUGACCAUUUCCAUCCUGUAACAUACCAGAUUUUGGUAUAAAAAUAAAAAUAAAUAAAAAUAGUGUUAGAAACUAUUUUUAUUGGAUUUGUAGGAGUAAAACAUAAGUCAGAAGUGACUUGUACUGAAAUCGGAUUGAAAACAGAAAAUCUAAAAUUUUCUGUUGGAAACGGGACAGAUAAAUUAGCAGAAAAUGCACAGUCUCAGAAAAUUAUGAAAAUUGGAGGAUAAGUCAGAAAUAUUUUUAUUAGGCUAGAUUCAAAGUUUCAUAUUUUUCUGACACCCGUAGAGUGAGAAAUAAAAUCCGACAGCUAUCUGAUAAAGAUUACAGUUCGGCACAAUUUUCGGUGACCAAAUGGGGUCGAAACUGAAAACUUAAGAUAUAUUCUUACUCAGUACAUUAAACUGAGCUUUCUUGUCAAAUUUGAGCUCAAAUGGACAUUCAGAAGGGCUCCAACUGUUCCGAACUGCUAAACAGCUGCCCGGAAGUGAAUAGUGUAAAAGUUGAGGGGCUGAUUUGUAAAAAGGGAUUUAAUCCCUUUUCUUCUUCUUCUCCUCAGCCGAAUGCGCACACACACACACGCCACACACACGCAAGGAGAGGGAGGAAGAGAGCUCUCCUUUCUCUCUCUAAAUCUCUCCCAAAAUUGAUGAAAUUGGAGGAGAAGCAAGCUUGGAGGUUGAUCUUCAUCUCUUUUAUCUUCUUCCUCUCCAUUGGAGCUUGCUUGCAAGGUAAGUUUUGAUGCCCUUUAAUGGUAUCUCUUUGUAGUUUGGGUUUUAAGCUUCAAGAAUGGAUUUAGAGCUAUUCUAGCAUGCUAAAGAGAUGAUUGUUGCUUAAAUCAUGGAUCAAUUUGAUGAUUUCUUGCCUAGUUGUAAACCUAGGGCUUGAACUGAGCUUUUUGAACCCUCUCAUGGUAGUGUUGGCCUAGUGGCCCUAAUCGUCUAUUAGAUUUUGAUGAUAACAAAUAAUCACGAUUAUUGGACUAAUCUUUUUAUCUUGAGUCUUGUGUUUUAGAUCUCUCUAUCUUCAAAAANGCUGUUGGCCUAGUGGCCCUAAUCUUUCAUUAGAUUUUGAUGAUAACAAAUAAUUACGAUUAUUGGACUAAUCUUUUAUCUUGAGUUUUGUGUUUUUGAUCUCUCUAUCUUCAAAAAGAAUUCAAGAUGGGCAAUAUUCUAGCACCUAGCUUCACCAUUUGAAGCUGUGUUUGCUUCUUUUAUCAAAUAAACAAACUCACUCUCUCUAUUCUUAAUUUGAUUAAUAUUAUGCUUUGAGUUAAGUUUAAACUAUUCAUCUUAUCACCUUAUAGAUCCCUUAAACAAAAUUCUAAAUUUAUGAUUAGGUGAAAAUGACUUUUAAAUAUUCAAAAAUUGCUCAAAUUCUGUGUUCUGUAAAAUUGCAAUUUCUGGACCCUGUUCUGGGCGCCCGAAAGUGGAUCCGAAUCUUUUGAGACCUUUUGGAUCCUGCCUGUUUGCUGUUCGGGUGAUUCAGAAACACAAAGACUGUUUGACUUGACAGGUUGCGACAACAGGCGGCGCAAAAUCUGGGCGCCCAGAUUUUACGGAAGCAGCGGCGCACGCAAUCUGGGCUGUUUGGCAAGAAAGUCAGCACGAGAUCUGGGCGCCCACAACUUUUGAUGGCUCGAAUCCAGAAAAACGGCGCAUGUCAGAAAAGUUGUCCCUCGAGAUCUGGGCGCCCACAUUUUCUGAUGGCCCAAAUCUAGAGGAAGCGGCGCGUGUCAGAAAAGCUGUUCCUCGAGAUCUGGGCGCCCACAAAUUUUUGACGGCCCAAACAUACAAAGUCAAGAAAAGCGGCGCACGUGGUCCGACAAGCAGCUGGCGUGCACAAACUUCUGGGCGCCCGGAAACAGUUUGUGGGCGCCCGAAAGUACAACUGCAGAUCUGUCCGAGGCUAUAAAUAGAUGGUAUUGAGGCCUCACUCUGCAGCAACUUGAUAACUCAUUUUUGAGCAUAAAAACUUCAGUGAUCUUAAUACUCUUAGCUAUCAAUUCUCUCUCUAAACUUGAGUGAAACUUGUAGUGAGAUUUAAUCUUGUAAAAAGAGAGAAAAGCAAAAUCUUGAAGCUUGAAAGAAGGAGUUGAUGUGAAGGCUUGGUGCUUGCCCGCAAAAGCAUCAUCUAGUGGAGAUCCAACAUUCUCGAGUGUUGAGAAGUUGGCGGGGACGUAGGCAAAGUGCCGAACCUCGAAACAAAUUGAUUGUGUGCUUUUCGAGUUUGCAUUUCUUUUAUUUGCAUCGUUUUUUUAAUUUGCUUGAUUAUUUGGUUUUUUUUUAUUUUAGAAACCUAAUUCACCCCCCCUCUUAGGUUGCCAUUUUGAUCCUCAGGUAGAUCUUUAAAGCUUCAUUAUAAUCCAUAGAAAUGGUUUAUUUGGAAUCCUAGCAUGCUAAAUAAAGGAUAAAUGCUACAAUCUAGGAUCAAUUUAAUUAAUUCUUGCAAUAGAUGAAGCCUAGGGUUCAAAAUGCAAGUUUUGUAAAUAUGAGGGUUUGAUCUCAUUUGACCCUCUGUAAACCUAAUUGCCAGGUAAACGAAUGCGUUGGCGAAGUCGGUUCGGCGAUUCGUUGAGCCGUUGCGAAGUUAUUAAAGAAACAGACGUUUAGGCUUCGUUUCCGCCUGGAGGGCCGAGGCGACAUCGUAUAUUCAUGAAAACGGAUUUGAAGCAUCGUGGCACAUAACCGAAGACCUUAAUUUUCGGAUCAUGAAUUGAAGGCCGUUCGGGUGGUCGCGCAAGAGAUCGGGCCAAACCGGGUGCCGGGUGCCGCUGGAGGCCGAUUGCAAGUGACUACAAGCAAUCGGAAUGCGUAAUGAGGUGGGUUGUGCUCACCGAAGCGACUAUGUAGCCUAUAUGUCUUAGAGUAAUGGUUUUCUAAUUGAUGCAUAUGGUUGAUGUUACUUACUGUUGAGAUAAAAUGCAUAAUGACAUAUAAUGUGUUAAAUGCUAGAUGAAUACAUGAGUUAAUUGUCACCUGAAUGCAUGAAAAUAAUGUUAUAGUAAUAUGUUAGAGGUAAUAUGCAUGUUGAUAAAUUAUGGAACAUGUUGGAUGGCAAAUGAAUGGUUGGUAUAUAUAUAUAGACAUAUUGUGGAAUAUGAGGAAUGAGUGCAUGUUGAUUUAUUAUAGAAUAUACUAGAUGAAUGUAUAUUGACAUAUUGUGGAUUAUGUUAAAUGACACAUGCAUAUUGAACUUGGGUCGAUAAACUCUAGGUGAAUUAGAGAACUCGACAUUGGAAAACAAUGACAUAUGAACUAUGAUAUGUGACGUAGACAAUCUAUAUAUAUUAGAUCGAGUGGCAUAUGAUUAAUAUAGUGGAAACACUUAUGGCAUGUUGAACAUUUAGAAAACAAGUAUGGCAUGAGUCCAAGAAUAUAGUAGUGUAUAUGACAUAAGUGAUAGUAAAGAAUGCAAAGAAAAGAAUGAUGAAAAUAUUAUGACAUUUCAAUCCUAGAGUUAGGGUCAUUUGAGCAUAGUCUUCCUAAAGUUAAGGAAUGGAUUGAACUUGACAUCCUCAAGAUUUUGGAUUUGAUCAUUGAUCAUACUCACCUUUAGUCCUUGCUCGAGGUUGUGGUAGCUCCCCCUCGGGCGAUGUGCUCCGGAGUCGACAUCACUGGGUUGUAGAGAGUAUCUCCCCAGAGGACGGUCCCAUCGGGUGUAGCGAGUAUCUCCCUGAUUAUUGGGAUUUUGAGUUGGUGAGUUUGUUGAGGGCGAAACCUUCGGGUUAGCCAAGAGAUUGGGUAACAAGCACAUGAGUUGUAAUAAUAUCCUAGUUGAGUAGACUUAAGGCUGAGGUGCAAGUGAGACGUCCUUCGCCUCGAGCCUGCCUUUGCGCGGUACUCCGCGAAUGAUUGACUCGAGACCGAGUCGGGUGGGUAGUUGAUAAAGGUAAAUGAGACCUUAUGAUUAAAAUGGUAAAUGACAGAAAACCUUAAAUGUCAAUUGGAUGAAAGUAGUAAUCGAUUGAAUUACUAAUUGAUUGUAUAGUCGCAUCAUUGUAUGAUCUUCAUAUUGUAUUCGUGAGGCAAUGCAUGGUUUCAUUUGUUGCAUAAUCAAGAUAUAUAUCUAUCUGUUUAUUGAACUAACUUGCAGUUGCCUCCCUUGGACCUAUUGGUCGAGCUUUUCCCUUGGGUGGCCGUACCUACUGGAAACCAUGGAGUUGGUUCUCACCCCACGUGGUUUUGGAGUGUUACAGGUUCACACGUGAGCGGCGCGGCGGCGCGAGGCGAGGGCGUAGCAUCAUAGUUAGCGCCCUACCACCGAGACCAGAGAUAGCGGUACCCUGAGUCGGCUUGUUUAGGAUCGUAGAAAAUGAAAAGAAUCAAGUUGUAAUAAUCAUGUUAAAUCGGAUUGUAUUUGGAAGUUGAAUGUAAUAAGUAUUUGGGAUGUAAAAUGUAUGAAUGUGAAUGCUUGUAAUAACAAGAUUAUGUUUUUGAUACUUCCUUAUGCAAUCUUUGAUUGAAAUGUGUUCCUGGUUGAAACUUUGUACAUUGUAUUGAUUGCGACGCCUUGAAUGUAUAGGGGAGACUCUGUCCGCGGUACCGGAAAAACCCUAUUCGUUUGGCGGUCUGUUACGGCGCCGCGACCCGGCCAAAUAGGCGGGCGGUCGUGGGGCGUGACACAUCCCUUAAAUCAUACUAUUCAACCAACCACCCACUCAAUCCUAGGGGACCACUAUCAUCCUAAUCGCACAUCUAAUGCCCGAAAAUUUAUAAGUAUAAAAGGGUCUAUACUCAUAAGAGUAUAGUAACCCUAACAUAUAUAUAUAUAUAUAUAUNNNNNNNNNNNNNNNNNNNNNNNNNNNNNNNNNNNNNNNNNNNNNNNNNNNNNNNNNNNNNNNNNNNNNNNNNNNNNNNNNNNNNNNNNNNNNNNNNNNNAAGAGAGAGAUCGGCGUUGAGUGUUAGUUUAGCGACUUUUUCGGUCAUAUUAGAAUUUAUUAGAGCUGUUGAUUUUGAGGUUUUAUUUGUGGAACUUGGGUUGGAUUUAUUUGUGAAUGUUGGGUUUUGGGAUUUACUCUUGUGGUUUGGAUUUUGAAUUUAUUUGUGACUUAUGUGUUUGAAAUUGUAUUGCUGGAUACUUUUGGGUUUGAAAUUUAUUUGUUAACUUGGGUUUGGGGGUUGGAUUAACUCCUCUGCUAUUUGAUUUGGGAUAACCAUUAAGGAUCUCAUAUUGUUUAAUACUUCUCGAGGUUGGUUUGGGCUGAAAUCCGUUAGACUUUGGUUCUGAACCCACAGACUUGUUUGGUUGAACACGUUAUGCUUAGGUUGGGAAUCAUCAAUGCUUUUUGAGUUUGAACCGACUUAUGACUUUAGCUUCGGUUCAUCAGAUUCUUCAUGGUUGGAUUUGCUGAGUCGGGUCCCUUCAUGGUUUUGUUCGAAUCGGAUCUCAUAUUCGAUUCGGGUGCGGACAUCCACCUUUGGUUCGAGCUCGCCAUCGCAUUGAACUCGAAUCAACUCAUAGUCGGUUCAAAUGUCGGAUCUUUGGUUCUGUUCGAUCGUGGACCUCUUCAUUUCGAUCGAUCCUAAUCGGGUGAACCGAAUCUCACGACUCGAGUCCUUUCAAGUUGAUCUUUUCGUUCACAGAUUGACGCUACUUCAUUCGAGUUGAUCUGUCAUGUUUGGAUUAAGCCACAUAUCGUUUCGAGUCGAUCCAUUAAUGGUCUUGUACUUGGAUUGAUUUACUUUGUUUGUGUUCUGACCGGUGUCGUCAGUUCGGAUUCACUUUAGGUUCAAGUUUGACUGUUCGGUCGUAUGACAGGGAUCUGGUUCGAUUCGGAGUCCGGUUCGGUUCAACUCGCAUCCUUUUCUCGGCUGUUGGAUGCGAUCCACUUGGUCGAUCGGAAUCGAUAUUCGCCUUCGGUAUCGAGUUUCAAGUCAAAUCUAUGAUUAUGGUUCAAGAAACGAACGUUCGGAUUCAACCGACAGAUCCUCUUGGUUAAUCGAAUUCCAUUAUGAUUUUGUCAGAACGGGAUCGGUUUCGUUUCAGCUUCGCGGUGACAGGUAAUCGUCUAAGUCGAAUCCUUUAUGAUCCGUUCAGUUCGAUCCGUUUCGUUCAGAUUCAAUCGGAUUCACCGCUUGGUUCAGAGUCGAUCUUUAAUGGUUUUCGGUUCGUUAGAUCCGUUCAGUUCGACAGAUCUCCGUUCACUUUAGUUUCAUUAAUCCUUUAUGGUUCUGUCCGGAUCGGAUCCGAUUCGGUUCGGAUCAGAUCGGAUUCACUUUAGUUCAAGUUGAAUCCUUUAUGGUUCUGUCCGGAUCAGAUCCACUUCGGAUCAAGUUGGAUCCAUUAUGAUUUGGUUCAGACGGGAUCCGGUUCGGUUCAGCUUGGAUCGGAUCCGCUUCGGUUCGAGUCGAAUCCUUUAUGAUUCUGUUCAGUUCGGAUCCGGUUCGGUUCAGUUCAGAUCGGAUUCACCUUGGUUCAAGUCGAAUCCUUUAUAGUUCGGUUCGGUUCGGAUUCGGUUCGGUUCGGAUCAGAUCGGAUUCACUUUAGUUCAAGUUGAAUCCUUUAUGGUUUUGUCCGGAUCAGAUCCACUUCGGAUCAAGUUGAAUCCAUUAUGAUUUGGUUCAGACGGGAUCCGGUUCGGUUCAGCUUGGAUCGGAUCCGCUUCGGUUUAAGUCAAAUCCCUUGUGGUUUGAUUCGGAUCGGACCCAUUUUAGUUCAGGUUGGAUCCUUCAUGGUUUGGUUCAAGUCAAACUAGCUUGUAGUUUGAUUUGGUUCGGUUAAUGUCUUUAAUGGUUCAAUUAGACUUAUUGAUUAGACUUGAUCGGCUUAUAAUCCGAUUUGAUUUAUCAUUAUGGUUUAGUUGACUCGGGUCUAGUCUAUCACGAAAACGACGACCCGGUUUAAUUGAACCGAACUCGGGUCAAGCCUAUAACGAAGACGGCGACCCGGUUUAAUUAAGCGAACCCGAGUCAAGCCUAUCAUGAAGACGGCGACCCGGUUUAAUUAAACGGACUCGGGUCAAGUCUAUCACGAAGACGACGACCCGGUUUAAUUAGUCGGACUCGGGUCAAGCCUAUCACGAAGACGGCGACCCGAUUUAAUUAAGCGAACCCGAGUCAAGCCUAAUCACGAAGACAGGCGACACCGGUUGUUAAUUAACGAAAUACCGGUCAAGGCUCUACACGAAGACCGGCGACCCGGUUUAAUUAACCGAUCCCGGAGUCCAAGGACCUACUCACGAAGACGGCGACCGGUUUAAAUGAACGCGAUCCCGGGUCCAAGCUACUCACGAAGACGGCGACCCGGUUUAUAAUGAACCGAACGAGUCAGCCUAUCACGAAGACGGCGACCCGGUUUAAUUAACCGGAUCCCACGGUCAAGCCUAUCACGAAGCACGAGCGACCCGGUUUAUUAACGAUCCGGGUCAAGCCCUAUCACGAAGACGGCGACCCGGUUUAAUUAACCCGAUCCCGGGUCAAGCCUAUUCACGAAGACGGCGACCCCGGUUAAUGAACCGAAACCCGGGUCAAGCCUAUCAACGAAGACGCGACCCGGUUUAAUUAACGGAUCCAGGUCAAGCCUAUCAGAAGACGGCGACCCCGGUUUAAUUAACCGAACCGAUGGUCAAGCUAUCACGAAGACGGCGCCGGUUUAAUGAUCCGAACUCGGGUCAAGCCUAUCACGAAGACGGCGACCAGAGAAAAAUAUUUGUUAUCAUUUUUUAUUAUUUUAUUUUUGUGUUCUCAUUUUGGUCCGAAUCGAAGUUCAACCGUGUCGAGCCUAUCACGAAGACGGCACUCGGUAUGAUCAUAAGUCCAAUGAGGGCAACGAUCCAACGUCGAGAUUGAAAGUGUUGAGCCUAUCACGAAGACGGCCGCUACUCAAUGAUAACAAGGAUCGUCAACCGUCGCAGUCGCCUCGUGCGCACAAUCUUUUCUUUUGAUGUUGAGGAGAGACGGGCUUAAUGAAUACGCGCGCAUGAUAUAGUAACGAUUGAAUGUCAAAUUUGAUCGGAAUCGACCUAUCACGAAGACGUCGUGUUGAUCAAACCGACAUAAAAUCGCGCAGCUAUAUCGUUUCACAUGUAUCACAAAACCCAUCGCCGUCGUAGAAAAGAAAAAAAAAGAGGCCGCUAAAUGGCCUCUUUGCGCGUCGUCGAAGUGCGUCGUUAGCGCGCCAUUGUCGACGUCGUCACCGUUUUGUCGUCGUUGUCGUCGCGCCAUUGUCGAAGUCGUCGCCCGCCACAUUAUCGUCGUCGUUGAAUAAAAGGCCAAGCUUCUCCUUCUUCCCCUUUUUUUGGUACGAUUUGGGGUGAGAGGUGUGCUCACAGCACCUCCCUCCCUUUGUUGCUGACGCGCGGCAGGAGGAGAGGGGCGAGUGUUGCCUUGUGAUGCACACGAUGGAGAGAAGAAAAAAGAAGAAAAGAAAACUUAUUAUUUUUGUUUUUUUUUUUUACCUUCUUUUUUUUCUUUAUCUCAACUUUUUCUUUUUUCUUUCUAGUUCCUCUCAAAAAAAAAAACACUUACAUCUUGGAUCCAAUUUAUAGGGAUCCAAAGAAUCAGUAUUAUUUUGGAAACAAAAUUCAAAUAAACCUCUAAAAAGGAAUUAUAUCAUUCCUUAUAGCUUAUAAGGAAUUUAAGUAUUUGAUACUAUUUUUAAAUCCUUCCUUAUUUUAUUUUAUUUGAAAUGACAAGAUUUUUUUUUUUUUUUUUUUUUUUUUUGCUUUUUUCCAUCUUUCUUCCUUUUUUUUUUUUUUGUUUGUUUUCUCUUUCUCUUUUUUUUUUUUUUUUUUUUUUUUUUUUAAUUCGAACAGUAGGUCUCAUAGGUCUCAUAUAAACUGAUCGAAAUUAGUAUCCCAUCCGAUGUGGGACUAUUGGGGCGUUACAAUAACUAAAAAAAAAAAGAGGAGCAAAAAACACAUGGAUCUAACCAAAACAUAUACAAACAAUUGUUGAGAUAAAACCCAGAAAACGUCUAAGCAUCAGGGGAAAUAAAAAAUCAGUGCAUAUCAAUUAAUAUAAAAGUCCAAACAGUCAAAGAGCAACAUCAUCAUAGGCAAAAACAAAAAAAGAGGGGAACAAAAAUACAUGCAUCUAUAUAACCAAAACAUGUGCAGACAAUUGCCGAGAUAAAACUUACAAAACCUCGAAGCAUCAAGAGGAAAAGUAAAAAAAACAAAGCAAAAAAAAUUUAGGUAAGCUUAGCUUUUCAAAAGCACAUAGUUAUGAUCAGUUGAAUUUUUUAUAGUUAUGAUCAGUUGAAAUAACAUUCAACAUUGCACGCCACUCACAAUAAAGCACCAACAUUUUUUGAUGUACGCAGGCUGCAAGAAUCGGCAUAAGAAUGGCCAACCCGCCAUGCCUUAGUAGAGUUUGUAGCAUUUAUUCUGAAAUUCAAACAUUUGCUAUGGAGAAGACCAACAUCAUAUACUCCACAAAACCAUUAAUUUAAUUAAUAACUAAAAUACACCAUUACUCAGAUUAUAGUAAAAAACUCUGCACCAACAGAAUAAAAAAACAAAUUUGUUUAGCCUUUCUUCUCCAACAAAUGAAAAGGUAAUAGCAGAAAAAUAAUUGCCAACAUCUUGCACUUCAAAACAAAACGAAAACACGAAACAAACCAAUGCGUAUCCAAGAAAAAUAAUAUACAAAAAAAGGGCUCAGAUAGAUUCAUAAAUCUGCAAUUUCAUGAUUUGUCUUUUGUAUAUAUGGAGUUGUAUUAUUUUCCUUUCUUUUUGCAUGAUUUGUUAGGUAUCCUUCAGAUUGGAUCUUAUAGUUUGAUAUGACUUAUCUGUUUUGCUUUACAAAACUUACUUUCGGAUUGUAUCUAAACAUAGAAGGGUGACAUCAGUGACAGCUUAUGGAUUUAAUUGAAUGAGCAUAAUUGAUAGGCCAGGAUAUUUCACUAUUACUUCAGUCACUUGGGAUUUGUUUUCUAGUUUUACGGGGUGCUUAGUCAAACUCAGAUAAGAGGCCAGAUUUAUUAGGCAUCCUUCAGAUUGGUUCUUAUAGUUUGAUACGGCUUAUCUGUUUUGAUUUUAAAAAUAUACUUUCGGAUUGUACCUAAACAUAGAAGGGUGACCUCAGUGACAGCUUAUGGACUUAAUUGAACGAGCAUAAUCGGUAGGCCAGGAUAUUUCACUAUUACUGCAAUCACUUGCGAUUUGUUUUCUAGUUUUAUGGAGUGCUUGGUCAAACUCAGAUCAGAGUCCAGUUAAAUAUUUUGGUUAAUUUAUGGACUUACCAUACGACAAAUUGCCAAGGUUAGGUUACCUAAGGAGAAGUCUCACGUACAGCUAUAUCUGUAGAUGGGUCCUGCUUGGAUGUAAGGCAAGGCGCAUCCAUCUUUUCUUAUGCAUCAGCUGCCAGUAAGCAAAGAUUUAUUUUCAGCUGACAAUUUGUUCUAAAAGACCUUUUAGAUAUCAGUUUAGAUUGUCAUGUGAAUAUUUUGAAAUGCAAUCGCAAUCAUAAGUGAAUCUUUGACACUUUUGUGAGACAUAUAAUCAACGCCAUGCUCGCACUUAAAGGUUUUUGAUUGGCUGGUGAUUUAUGAUGAGAAAAGCUAAUUUGCAAGCAUAAAUGUGAUAUCAAAAUAAUAUAUACUUUACAUACAGAUUGUAUUGCAUAUACAUUUUUUUUAAAAGAAAUUCGAGUAUGCACCCCUUUCUUUUCCAAGAAAUAGGAUUGAAUGAUAGCAUGUACUUAUUUCUUGUACCUCUGCAGUAAAUUUUCACAAUUCCAAAUUUUGAGAAGAAUCAAAAGGCAUAAACUUAUACGACAUGAAUGAUUGCAAAUCUUGUAGCGGAACCUCUAUUUGUCCAAGUAGGAAUAAAAUGUUAUUCAAACCAUUUCAAUUGCGAGCUAUCAAUUUGCUAUCAAUUUAUAUGUUUUUUUUCUUUUUUUGGUUCUCACUCACUUCUUUUAAGGCGAUAGUAUCAUAUAGUAAGUAUUUUAUUCUUCAUACUAAUUAUUUAUAUACAAUUUUGUUGGCUUUUUUUUUAGUGUUGAGAUUCUAAUCCUGAAAAUGGUUUUAGAAGAUAAGAAUGCGGCCUCAGUUGGAAGACCUUGGUCCAACCUUGCAACACAUAUUCUUGAGUUGAUUUCAUCCCAGCUCUCUCCAUCUGAUCGUUCCCACUUUGCUUUAACUUGCAAGCAGUGGAAUUCAGUUGUUGGUCCUACUUUUCCUGCUGAUAUAUGUCCACUUUUGCUAAACUGUCCAAGAUGGGGUUCCAAUGUGAUCCGGUACUACAGUCCUUAUUUCAACAAGAAUUUUGAACUAGAUUGUCCCUUUGACUUGUCAGGUGCCACAUUAUGUUCUUCAAGCAAUAGGUGGCUGACGUUAGGCUGGGAAAAUAAGAUUAUGUUAGCUGACCCUUUCACUGGCAUCUCACAUGAGGUACCAUUGGAGGAGGUAUUUCUUUUCUCUCAAUAUGGUUUUUUUUGGGAUCCGAUUACUUCGAAACUCCAAAUCUUCGGCAUUAGUAACGGUGGCUAUGAAAAUGUUGAUAUUGGUAUUUUUGAUGGUGAAAGUUGGUUCUGGUCUACAUACGAGAGUGGUCUACCAUUCUUUGUCUUCACACUCUAAUCCAGUUUUGUGCCGAGGCAAUUUUUAUUCCCUAGGAUCAGGUGGAGAGUUGGGAGUGUACAAUCUAAAAGAGGAUACAUGGACAGUUCUAAUGACUAAGCCUAACAAGUUCAGUUAUGAAGAAUGCUACCUAGUUGAGUCAGAGGGAGAGCUCUUUUCGGUACUCAUUGGAAAGUAUGGAUUACCUCUUCAUGUUCUUCGUCUUGAUGAACGCGAGAUGAUGUGGGAAAAGGUUGAAAGAUUAGAGGGGCGAAGUCUUUUCUUGGGAUCACUCACAUCGGUUUCUAGUAAUAGUACCACAUUGGAAAGCAUGGAAAAUAAAGUGUUUUUUCCAAGGUUUCAUGGUGAUGUUGAAGUCAUUCGCGCAAAAGUAAAGUACUCUAGUGGCCGCUCAUUUUUUGUACCGAAGAUGAAUGGAGAGAACAAGAGAAAAGAUGAAUCUAAUAUAUGUUGGUACUCAUUAGCAGAUGACAAAUUUCAUCUCAAAUAUUUUGUGUCCAAAAAAUACGUGAACAGCAUAUGGAUUGAUUCUAUAGUUGCAAGUGAUUAAACUUGAGGGCAGCCUUUUUAUUUUUCGAUACCUUUAGGACAGGUUUGCUAUAGAAUCUAAAAGCUUGGAAUUCUUAAAUUUUAGAAUGUAUGCUGUGAACAAUCACGAAAUAGUUUUUACCAGCCAUUUCAAUUUUAUUUUAUCACUAGUUCGAUCAUUUCGGGUCCAAAAAUAGUAAUACUGUAUUUUAAAUCUAGUACCUUUAGUAGUGCUAUGUGUAAGAAGUGAUGUAACUUUUUUUUUAAUAGGAGAAAAUAAUACUAAGCUAAAUGUGUACUAUUCUUGCAUUGUUGUUUGAUUUAUGCUUGUAAGCAAAUGGAACUUUAUAACUGACCUUGACGAAGUAACUUGUUUGGUCAGAAGCUGAUUGGAUAGAAUCAAUUUAUAUGAGAUAGAGGGGAUAAAGUUGUUUUUGGUCAUAAAUGUUCUCUUAUGUUACUUGAUUUGUCAUAAAUUAAUUUUUUUUGCAACAUCACAUUUUCGAAACUCGAACUUCACUCCGGAUAAUGUCAAAGUCAAUUAUGAAAAAGUGAUAUGAAAAAAUAAGUAAAAUUUUAAGUAAAUAAAUAAAGAUGUGGGAUAAUUGCAAUUUGAAAGCCAUAGACUUCUUAUCAAAUAAAAAAUAGUAGAGAAAAAAAAUUUCUUGAAUUUCAGUUUAAUUGAAAUUUAUUUUCAACUUGAAAAUUAUUUUUGGACAAACGGUCAAAACUUCAUCACCUUAAUAAUAUUUUCCAUUUAUUCAAAUAAAGCUCCCAAUUUCACAAUUGACACGGCCCUGGCAAUCCAAGAGGGGGGUUGAAUUAGGUUUCUAAAAUAAAAAGCCAAAUAAUCAAGCAAUUUAAAAAUCCGAAACAAAUAAUAAAGAGAGGAGUUUAAAGAAAUGCAAACUCAAAAGGCACACAAUCGAUUUGUUUCGAGGUUCGGCACUUUGCCUACGUCCCCGCCAACUUCUCAACACUAGAGAAUGUUGGAUCUCCACUAGAUAAUAUUUUUGGAGGCAAGCACCAAGCCUUCACACCAACACAUUCUUCUUUUCAAACUCCAAGACUUUGCUUUUCUCUCUUUUUACAAGAUUAAAUUUCACUACAAAUUGCACUCAAGUUUAGAGAGAGAAUUGAAAGCUAAAAGUAUUACCGUAAACAUGAUUUCGGGCGCCCAGAUGUUGUGCACGUGCACUCUACUUCCAGCUGCCUGUCAGACAAUGUACGCUACUUUUUCUGGAUUCGUACAUUCGGGCCUUCAGAAUUUGUGGGCGCCCAGAAUAUGCGCGCUGACUUUUCUGACAUAGAUAGACCACGUGCGCCGUUUUCUCUGAGCGGAAUCAUUUUGGGCUUCCAGAAGAUGUGGGUGCCCAGAUUUCCAGCACGCGCGCUGCCUGCGUCGCGUCGUGCCGCCUCAGAACUUUUCGGGCUGAUCCGUCGUACUGUCCGGAACACACAAUCUGUCAAGUCAAAUAAUCCGGUCGCCCUAAACAGACAUUCGGGCGCAAAAAUCAGGUAAAGAAAUUUCUGAACCACCCAAACAGCAAACAGGCAUGAUCCAAAAACACAUGAGAUUCAGAUCCACUUUAGGGUGCCCAGAACAGAGUCUAGAAACAGUAACUAGACAGAAAACUGAUUUUGAGCAGAUUUUGAAUAUUUUAAGAACCGAUGAACUUUAUAAGAAGAUCUUUGGAUAAGAUUCACUUUGAAUCAAAUAGAUAUUUGUUCAAGUGAGCUAUGAUAAAAAGAUCAAACUUAGCUCAAAGUUUCUCACUCUAAUCAUAAAGCAUAAUAUUAAUCAAAUUAAGAAAUAGAGAGAGUGAGUUUGUCUAUUUGACUGUAACAUACCAGAUUUUGGUAUAAAAAUAAAAAUAAAUAAAAAUAGUGUGAGAUACUAUUUUCGUUCGACUUAGAGAAGUAAAACAUAAGUCAGAAAUGACUUGUGCUGAAAUCGAAAUGAAAACAGAAGAUCUAGAAUUUUCUGUUGGAAACGGGACAGAUAAAUUAGCAGAAAAUGCACAGUCUCAGAAAAUUAUGAAAAUUGGAAGAUAAGUCAAAAAUAUUUUUAUGAGGCUAGAUUUAAAGUUUCAUAUUUUUCUGGCACCCGUAGAGUGAGAAAUAAAAUCCGACAGCUAUCUGAUAAAGAUUACAGUUCGGUACAGUUUUCAGUGACCAAAUGAGGUCGAAACUGAAAACUUAAGAUAUAUUCUUACUCAGUACGUUAAACUGAGCCUGCCUGUCAAAUUUGAGCUCAAACGGACAUUCAGAAGAGCUCCAACUAUUCCGAACUGCUAAACUGCUGCCCGAGGUGAAUAGUGUAAUAGUUGAGGGGCUGAUUUGUAAAAAGGGAUUUAAUCCCUUUUCUUCUUCUCCACCUCAGCCGAAUGCGCACACACACACACGCCACACACACGCAAGGAGAGGGAGGAAGAGAACUCUCCUUUCUCUCUCUAAAUCUCUCCCAAAAGAGAGGGUUUUGGUGGCGAUUGAAGCUCAAGGAUGGAUUUUCAUCUUUCCCAUCUUCUUCCUUGAAUGAGAAGCAAGCUUUGAAGGUAAGCUCCAAAACCCUUUAAUGGUAUCUCCUUGUAGUUUGGGUUUUAAGCUUCAAGAAUGGAUUUAGAGCUAUUCUAGCAUGCUAAAUAGGUGAUUGUUGCUUAAAUCAUGGAUCAAUUUAAUGAUUUCUUGCCUAGUUGUAAAUCUAGAACUUGAAAUGAGCUUUUUGAACCCUCUCAUGGUAGAUCUUUAAAGCUUCAUUUAUAAUCCAUAGAAAUGGUAUAUUUGGAAUCCUAGCAUGCUAAAUAGAGGAUAAAUACUAGAAUCUAGGAUCAAUUUAGUUAACUCUUGCAAUAGAUGAAACCUAGGGUUCAAAAUGCAAUUUUUGGAAAUAUGAGGGUUUGAUCUCAUUUGACCCUUUAUAAACAUAAUUGCUAGGUAAACGAACGCGCUGGCGAAGUCGGUUCGGCGAUUCGUCGAGCCGGUACGAAGUUAUUAAAGAAACGGACGUUUAGGCUUCAUUUCCGCCUGCAGGGCUGAGCGACAUCGUAUACUCAUGAAAACGGAUUUGAAGCAUCGUGGCACGGAUCGGGCCAAACCGGAUGCCGGGUGCCGCGGGAGGCCGAUUGCAAGUGUCGACAAGUAAUCGGAUUGCGAAAUGAGGUGGGUUGUGCUCAUCGAAGCGACUAGGUCGCCUAUAUAUCUAAGAGUAAUGGUUUUCUAAUUGAUGCAUAUAGUUUAUGUUAUUUACUGUUGAGAUAAAAUGCAUAAUGACAUAUAAUGUGUUAAAUGCUAGAUGAAUGCAUGAGUUAAUUGUCACAUGAAUGCAUGAAAAUAAUGUUAUAGUAAUAUGUUAGAGGUAAUAUGCAUGUUGAUAAAUUAUGGAACAUGUUGGAUGGCAUAUGAAUAGUUGGUAUAUAUAUGUAGACAUAUUGUGGAAUAUGAUGAAUGAGUGCAUGUUGAUUUAUUGUAGAAUAUACAAGAUGAAUGUAUAUUGACAUAUUGUGGAUUAUGUUAAAUGACACAUGCAUGUUGAACUUGGAUCGAUAAACUCUAGGUGAAUUAGAGAACUCGACAUUGGAAAACAAUGACAUAUGAACUAUGAUAUGUGACGUGGACAAUCUAUAUAUAUUAGAUCGAAUGGCAUAUGAUUAGUAUAGUGGAAACACUUAUGGCAUGUUGAACACUUAGAAAAUACGUGUGUCAUGAGUCCAAGAAUAUAGUAGUGCAUAUGACACAAAUGAUAGUAAAAAAUGCAAAGAAAAGAAUGAUUGAAAUAUUAUGACAUUUUAAUCCUAGAGUUUAGGGUCAUUUGAGCAUAGUCUUCCUAAAGUUAAGGAAUUGAUUAAACUUGGAGUCCUCAAAUGUAGGAUUGAUCAUACUCACUUUUAGUCCUUGCUCGAGGUUGUGGUAGCUCCCCCUCGGGCGAUGUGCUCCGGAGACAACAUCACUGGGUAUAGCGAGUAUCUCCCCAGAGGACCGUCCCAUCGGGUGUAGCGAGUAUCUCCCCGAUUAUUGGGAUUUUGAGUUGGUGAGUUUGUUGAGGGCGAAAUCUUCGGGUUAGCCAAGAGAUUGGGUAACAAGCACAUGAGUUGUAGCAAUAUCCUAGUUGAGUGGACUUAAGGCUGAGGUGCAAGUGAGACGUCCUUCGCCUCGAGCCUGGCUUUACGCGGUACUCCGCGAAUGAUUGACUCGAGACCGAGUCGGGUGGAUAGUUGAUAAAGGUAAAUGGGACCAUAUGAUCAGAAUUGUAAUUAAUAUGAAUUUAAAAUAGUGGAAUAACUUCGAAGUCAAUUAAAUGAGCUUUGAAUAGCAGGAUUAAAGUAGUAUCGAUUGAACUACUAAUUGGUUGCAUAAAUCGCAUGAUUUUCAUAUUGCAUGGUUGUGAGGCAUGACAUGUAUUUCAAUUAUCAUAUAUAUAUAUAUAUAUAUAUAUAUAUAUAUAUAUGUGUUGGAUAUUUGUUGGACUAACAUGUUGCAGUGCCUCCUUGGACCUGUGGGUCGAGCUCUUCCCUUGGGUGGUCGUACCCACUGGGAACAUAUUUAUAUAGUUAUCACCCCUGUGUUGUUUUUGGGGGUACAGGUUCCCACGUGAGGGGCGCGGCGGCGCGAGGAGAGGGCGUAGCUCCGUAGAUAGCGCCCUACCACCGAGACCAGAGAUAGCGGUACCCUGAGUCGGCCUUUACUUAGGGAUGUAAGAAAACGAAAAGAAUCAAGUUGUAAUAAUUUUGAUUGUAUUUGGAAGUUAAAUGUAAUAAGUAUUUGUGAUGUAAAAUGUAUCUAGUGAUUGAGAAUGCUUGUAAUAGCAAGUAGAUUAUGUUAUUGAUCCUUCCUUAUGCAAUCUUUGAUUGAAAUGUGUUCCUAGUUGGAACUUCGUACAUUGUAUCGAUUGCGACGCCUUAAACGUACAGGGGAGACUCUGUCCGCGGUACCGGAGAAAUCCUGUCCAUUCGGCGGUUUGUCGGCGUGCCUAAAACUGACCAAAUAGGCAGGCUCGGGGCGUGACAUUGACAAAAGAAACAAGCAUAGCUUCAAGUAGUGAAGCUCGGUGCUAGAAGAUUGCUCAUCUUGAGUCCUUUUGAAAAUAGAGAGAUUUAAGACACAAAACUCAAGAUAAAAGAUUAGUCCAAUAAUCGUAAUUAUUUGUUAUCAUCAAAAUCUAAUGAAAGAUUAGGGCCAUUAGGCCAACACUAUCCCUGUUUCAACUCCGACUUAUGGUACUACCAAUAUUGCAUCUUUAUUUCUGAAAACUUCUCUAUUUAAGAGUCCCUGGCACACCCUCUGCUCAUUUCAGCUCGAAUUUAGGCACUGGUUAUAUUACAUCCUUAUUUGAUUAUAUUGGAUAGUCCCAAAACCUCUGUAUUGUGCUAUUUUCGGACUAUACUUUUACAGGCACGCCAUGUUUUUUACAGAGUUGAGUGUUUAAAUAAGUUUUAGAAAAUUUUACAUUAUACUAUAGCAAAAUGCCUUAAACUCUAUAAAAAAGAAGACAAAAGGUAAAUUAAAUUGAAGUUAGGAGUCAAAUAAAGCAACUAAAGAUUAAACAGAAAACAAAAUAUUUAUCAACGGAUGGAGGAACUCACUUACACGCAGCCUCUUCUCAAGAGUUAAUCUAAAAGAAAGAUAUUCUAAUCUCUUCUCGAGUUUAUUUUUUGCUUCACGCAACGCACCAUUUUCAUUUGCAGCCGACAAUAUUUUUGAAAACUUUGACUAUCAAUCUCUUUCUUGAAAUAUUCAUAUAUAAAAGCAACAAAGCAUAGCCUUCUAAAUUAAAGUAAAGACAACAAGCUUGAGUCACCGAGAGAAAAGACGGUAAAUACAUAUAUUAGCCAGACAAUCUAGUGUACCACAAAGUGCGUGCGUCAAAUUUUAGACCUAUAGAUAGACCGUUUGUAUAUACAAUUUUCUUACUGAGACUUAUGACUAGAAGAACCUAACAAGUGGAAAAAUAUGCCUGCCCUGAUAUUCCAAACAAAAAUAAUGUGACAAAGAUGAGAUGAAGAUGAAUAUUACCAUACCCGUGUGUAUAUAUAUAUAUAUAUAUAUAUAUAUAUAUAUUGGAUCUCGGUAGAUAUAGAAAUUGAUUUAGCCUCUCUCUCUUCCAAUAUAAUUUUUCGUGAAGAUCAGAAUAUCUCAAAAAGGGAACGUAGAUAUUAGAGGAUUGCUAGCAUCAUCCUUGUAGUCUACGACUCAUCUGUUCCGUGCGACGAAAGACGUUGGAUCUGCAUCAAUUCCAUGUGGAUACGCGUAGAGGCUGGGUACGUGCGCGACUAAUCGGAAUCUCAGUUUUAACCGUACAGUAGAUCAAGAGACCUUAACUAGUCCGAGGUGAUGCAACCUGAACUUCAAAUCUGUUUAGGUUUGAUUAUUAUUUUACACUGUAACAUGAGAAUGAUCCGCUAGCACUGGAUUGAUUUGUUUUCGAUUUUAUUCAUAUGUGAUAUGGAUUUUAGUUUUCAAAAAAUUUUAAAAGGUACAAUAUUAAUUUCCGCUGCGAUUUGAAUUUUAUUUUUGUGCCGGAUAAAUUCUUACAAAUAUUUUCCACUCCUACAAAACACAAAUCUUUAAAUCCCAACAGCUUUUUUCUCUCUGUUUUCUCUAUUUUUCUUUUUUUUCUUUUUUACCUUUUUCUUUUUUUCCUUUGUAUGUUGGGUCUCUACACCGUACUGCCACUAUAUCGACCCCUUCCAUACCACAGGUCGUCGUCUAGUCCAUCACGACCGACGAUAAAUUUGUUACCAUUCUCCAUAAUAUUUGCGCUUAAGAAAUAUGGAAAGAUGAGAAAAAUAGGAGUAAAAAAGGAGAGUAAAAAUUUAUAUUAAAAAAUAGGGUAUAUCCCUGUUUAAUCAAAAAAAAAAAAAAAAAAAUUUAUAUUAAAAAAUUGUCUAUUAGAAAGGGCAGAAAGAAGAGGAGCCAAGGAUUUCUUCUUUUUUUUUUUCUUUUCUUUUUGUGUGUCGGAUAUCUACUAUCAAGCUGAAACAAGGGAGAGAGGUAGGUAUUGAUGAAGAUGGGUUUCUUCUUUUACUCUCUGUUUCUCUUUUCCUUUUUUUGGCUAGAUCUCUACUACCCAAUUACCCCCUUCGAUCAAGCUGAAAUAGGGGGAGGAUAGGUAGAGAUGAAGAUGGGUUGAAAGAAAGGGAGAGAGGAUGGAGAGGAACAGUAAUUGAACAAAUGUGAACCCAUGUGAAUGCAUUUUUAAUCAUAUUAACUUAAAUUUCAUGAUCGUGAGAGAGAAAGGGAAAAAAAAAAAACUUACACAUAAAAAAUCUAUGGGGAAGGAGGCGGCGUUGCUUAACGACAGAACGUAUUUGAUUUCUCAUUUAGUAUAGAGUUUAAUCCUAUGCAUAUAAAAUCAGAUAACGGAAAAAUUGAAAUCAGAUUUUUAUAUUUCGUUAUAAUAGAUUGGCAUGAAAUCUUGAAUACUGUAGAAUUUUUUACUCUCUUUUUACUGUUUGGAUAAAAUACAGUAGUUUUUACACCAUUAGAAAAAUAACUAGUUUUUUCCCCCUAAUUUAUAGAAUUGCAAAUUCACAACUCCUGCCAACUUAUCAUAUAAAUAAAUGAACUAUUCCUUAUUAAUGCAAUGUUAUUUAUUUUACAAAAUAAAAACAAUCUAAUAUAAAGAUACUUUUCAUUAGAUAUCUGAAUGCAAUCUUCUCAUUAGACUAGUGUAAUGACCCGCGCGAUGCGGCGAAUAGGUAAUAUUCGAUAUUUAACUUUAGUUUUUGUGCUAAAAUUUAUUCUUUCUUCUCUUUAAAUUAUAAUAUUUGAUUAUUUUUCUUACAAUAUAAAUAAUAUAUCAUACUUUCAACAUAGAGAACAAAUAAAGAGUAAAAAAAAUAGAACCAAGAGAAUGAAAUUUGAUGCAUAAUUAAACUGAAGAAAUAUUUGAGAUCCUGUAGAAAAAGCUGAAGCAAUACGAAAUAGCAAAUAUAUAAGAAAAAUAAUCAAAUAUUANAUCCUGUAGAAAAAGCUGAAGCAAUACGAAAUAGCAAAUAUAUAAGAAAAAUUAAAAAAUUUUGAGUAACAAAUAAAUAAAAGCGUAAGCAGUUAAUUCAACAGUAGCAGCAACGACUAUAAAUACAAUGAAUUUUAUAGCGGUAGAAGUCGAAGAAAGGCUUGCAGAGUUGGCUGAAAGAAAAAGUAAUAGUCAGUAAAGAAUUAAGAAAAGAAUGAAAUAGGACUAAUAGGAAAAGUUGGUUUUAAAAUAUUACUAACCAGCUAUCCCAAAAAUAUGCGACUACAGUGGUGCAAAAUCAAGUGAGGUAGCAACUUACAAAAUUAAUUAGAAUAUAUAAGUUGCAGAACUUAUAGUCAAAUAAUUUUAAACAGGAAUAGUAAAAAAACACCAUCACAACAAUUGAAAAAAAUAAUAUAGAGAGCAAACAAAGUGAAAGAAAAAUAGAACAAUCGAAAACAAUAUUCAACAAACAAACGAAGAAAAUAGCAUAAACAGUAGCAGUAGAAAUUUGAGAAAAACGAAAAAGAACAACAGCUAAUAAAAUUCUAUUUUUACUAUAGGCUCAGACAUGUAAUGAGUAUUAUCAAUAGUCAACAAAUUUAUUUUUCUCAUUUCAGAAGUCUUCAAGAAAAUGUGUCGCGUAUAGUUAUAUGUCAUCAAUAGCUUAUGUAUCCCUUGCUGGGGGGAAUCACCAGUUGCAAUUAUUUUGUAAUUGCCAUCACCAGAAGUCUUCAAGAAAAUAUGUCGCGUAUAGUUAUAUGUCCUCAAUAGCUUAUGUAUCCCUUGCUGGAGGGAAUCACCAGUUGCAAUUAUUUUGUAAUUGCCAUCCUAGUUGAUACUGAACCAGCAAAGAAAUAGAUUUUUUUUUUUGCCGCAAAUAAUUUUUUUACGGAGGCAUAUUAUAUAAGCAGCAAGAAGGAGCAUGGAGAAUGAAUCCGAACCAUUUUCAUGACCGGAGGGAAUCACUAAGCCGAAACGAAGCGUCGCUAAUGGGACCGGCGCGACGGGAAGAAGGGCCGACUAUGAACUCUGCCCAAUAUUCCGUCCUGAUAGGGUACAGCAGGAGUCGGAGCGGCAUCUAAGGGGUUGAGCGGCAUCAGUUGGAAGACGAACCUCUUCGUUGAACCAAUUAAAUGGGAAUCGGUUGAACCAACUAAAUGGGAAUGAGAUAACCGUCAGGAAAGAAGAACGACAACGAACUCGGGCCAAUUUUCCGUCCAAGAGGGCACAUCAGUAGUCGGAGCAGCAUCUAGAGGGUGAGCGGCAUUGGCUGCAAGACGAACGUAUUACUCGAACCAAUUAAAUGGAAGCGGUUGAAGAAAUUAAAUGGAAAAAAGAUAAGGUUCCCACAAAUCAACAAUUAAGCAGAGUAGCUUAAGAUGUCUAGUAUGGCCCAAAAAAAUCAAAUUAAGCUAAUAUCACAAAAGGAAACGAAUUUUCAUAGGAAUUUAUAGAUAAUUUGCUAUAGACCAGACAUGUAAUCAGUAUUAUUAGUAAUCAGCAAUAAUAUUUUUCUCAUUUCAGAAGUAUUUGAGAAAAAGUGUCGCGUAAGAGGAUGAACCAGUUUUUCUAAACCAAUUUAAUGGGAAGAGGAUGAGGAAAGAAAAAAAACUUAUAGGUGAGGCCCAUGGGCCAUACAGAUAGGUCCUACACAAAUCUCACACAAACCCACAAUUAAGCAAGAUAGUUUAAGAUGACAGGUAGGUCACACAAAAGGCCAACUUAAGCAAAUAUUUCCAUGUGCACAAAAGGAAACGGAUUUUCAUAGAAGUUUAUAGAUGCAUCCCUUGCCGAGGGGAAUCACUGGUUGCAACUAUUUUGUAAUUGCCAUCCUAGUUAGUUAAGCGAAAUACUUGGUUGCAAUGGAUGCAUAACUACCAUCCGAGUUGCCUUACCAUGUAUAUACUCUUUUCAUAUUAAUCAUAAGAUUAUUCAUUUUGUCAUCAUCGCCAAUCCCAAUAAAUAGAAAACUUAAUAUUAUGGUCGUAGAACUUAUUAAAAAGUAUCUGAAAUCAUAAAGUAGUAAAAAUAAUAGAGAAUCAACAACAAAGUAAAAAAGUGAACUACCUCAAGAUUGAGAAUAGGAACUGGUUCAACGGAAAUAUAGAAAAUCGAAUUUGUAAUUACAAAGAAAAUGAAAAAAUCAGAGUAAAAUUAUACUAAAUGGUAGGAAAAUCGGGGUAAAAAAAUAAGAAAAUCAAAAAAUUGAAAACAAUGAGCUAUAAGUAGUCAAAAUGAAAUUCCAAAGAAAAUGAAAGGCAUAAACCAUAGCAGAGAAGAAAGCAACAUGAUAGAAUACAACAUGGGCAUUUAUGGUUAUAGCUCCUCAGUUCUGCUUUAGAACUCUUCCUAAAGGUAUUGUUAAUAUAUUUUCACGUAUAUGUGAUGUUUCACGCACUUUUAAAGUUGCGUAUUUUCCCAUUUAGGCUACUUGUGAUUGGUUUCUUUAUUAUAAUACCUUAUUUGUAAAAUGAAUGUAUGAUGUUCUUGUUACAUUAACAUUUCGGAUCAAGUGAUAAUAGAAUUUAGAAUCAAGACAGGAGUUUUGAGUUUAGCCUGGAUGAUACCUUACUUACUUUUAACAAAAUAAUUCUAGCUAAAUGUCAGUUUUCUAAUAAAACAAUUCUUUUCCAAUCUUCUGUUCUUUCUGAGUUCAACAUACCUUGAUCAAUUCGAAGUGGGUUCUACUAAAACAUCGAAGGUUCAAUCUCAAAAGGUGUUGAAAACACCGAAGAGAAUUAUCGAGAAAUAUUCUGUUGGCGGACAUGGCGAUUUUGGGACAAAAUUGAAAUUCAGAUCAAUUCCUUUAAUUUGCUGCAAUAAUGGGAUAAGAAAUAUAUUUAGGAUCAAGAUCAUUAGCAACACCAUUUUCAUCCAUGUCAAUUUUGAUUUAGACAAAUUAAAGGAACGAAAACUGAACCGGUAUGCCCAUAUAUGUUCCAUUAAGUCAAUUGAUCUUCUGGUAAAAUCUACAUAGAAAAAAAGCCAUUAUAUACCGCAAAUCUAUCCGACAGUUCCAGCUUUAGAAUCGGAAUAUAUCCAAUUGCCAUCAGUUAGAAAAAAAUGCACUUGUUAUGCUGAAUAUAUCCAACAGGUUGAGAUUGUUAACUUCUACAAAAGAAAUGUGGAUACCGAACAAAAUUUAUGCAAUUCCAAAAAAUGGUGUUAAUUGUUACCGGAAGAAUCACUUUCAUCAAUGAAAAGUCUGCUUACUAUGUUUCUUUUGUAGUCAGAUUACUGUCUUUUUUAUCUUUCACAUAGAAAGAUUCUGUAAAUGGACUCUAUCUUUAUUCAGUUACUUUGAAAUAUAGUUAGAAUUUAGAUCCUCAUAACAAUUUAGUCCUUGGUAGUCUAUCUUCUUUAAGAGAUGCACUAUCAUCAUGAUUCUUAGGUUUUGCAAUACAAACUUCAAUGAUUAAAUUGUCAGAAUUAAAACUGUGCGAUAUUGAACAAACUUCGAGUAAAUUAUUAACUAAACCCUCUCUAAUAUAUGUGGAUGUUGGAUAAUGUUACUUGUUUCAUUGCAUGCUUUGGAUGCUUGACCAUCUUUGAGGCCAAGAUAGAUAUACAUAAGCACUUUCCACAAUACUACUUUGCUAUCAGCAAAGCCGGUCCAACUCUAGGCACAUCAAGGUACUAUCGGAAAGUGCAAACUUGCGGUUUGAAGGUUCUAUGUUGUUUUGAGAUCAAGCCUCUUUAUUAGCUAAGUUGACUGAUAGUUGUUGCAGCAGGAGAAAACAUGUUUAUUGAACAUUAAUGAUGGAGGAAUAUCUUUUUCUCUUAAUUGCCACUCAGAUAUUUCGAAGGUAUUCUAACCUGGUUUUAUUUUGUAAUUUUCUGACUUUGCUAUCAGUACUUGGAAUAUCAUUCCUAUUGCUAACUAGCAUGUUUUGUGUUUCCUCUCAAAAAGGUAUUGGCAAUUUGAGCAUGUUAAAGUUGAAUUGUUGGUCUAUAUACGUUCUCUGUCUUACUUUUAUAGCUUAGUAAAUUUUGUUUAUGAAUAAAGCGAGUAGCAUGCUACCUUUCUUCUUAAAAGGUAAAAGAAAAAAAAAAAAUUAGUUGCAUCCUAAGCCCAAAAAACUUACAGAACAUCAUCUGAGGGAGUUGCUAGCUAGAGGAGGUAGUACUUAUUGUCACUGUUUCCUAAGUCAAGUCAAUAAGAUAGUAUAGAUUAGUACUGGUAUUAAUGGUCGACAUGUGAUAUUUCAUAGUACCUAAUUAGAAAAGAUUAUACAUGUGCACAGAUAGUGAAAAAGGGGUAGUUGAGUCAAUUGUUAUUAUUAGUAUUAGGGUAAAUUGCACAUUUGGUGUCAAACUAUGAGUUGGCCGACACUUUUGUCCUCACUUUAUUUCGCUAUAAUCUGUAACUUUUUAGUUAUUUGAUAUAGCUUGGUUUUGAUGUUAUAGUCUAUUUUUGUAGUAUCUUAUUUUCUCCAUUGUUUAGUUUUGCUCAACUAUUAAAAGUGUAGUUUUCAAUUAAGAGUAUACUAUAGGCUGCAUACUUUAAAUUCAAAGUUAGCUAUAAGUUUAGUUAUUAGUUUAGUUUUGCUCAACCAUUGUUUACUUUUCCAGUCAAUCAAUAUACACUCUAGGCCGCAUAUUUUAAUUUCCGAGUUAGCUCCAAUUUCGUUUAUUUUGUUUAUUUUGAUCUAGUACACAGCAGCACCUCUUUUGUAAUUCCCUGCAAAUCAUUAUUUCAAUUUGGAUUUUAUAUGUAUUUCAGUUUUUUUCCUUUUGUUUUGUUCUUAAAUUUUUUGUCUUUUUUAAUGGUGGUUGGCAGUAAAAUUAAGGUGAUAAUUUGAUUUGGAGUUUGAAGCAAAUCUUGCUUUGGGACUGUGCGAUCAAAAACAGAUGGAAUUAGACACAGUGAACUAUUGCUUAUUAAAAUCAAAACUUAGAAAAUUACCUCAUACUUUCAAGGGCAAGUUUCUGAAUGCCGACCUCCGAGGCAAGAACUCCUUCAACAUAUUCUUCAAUGCCAAAUCCUCAUCCGUCUACAAUCUUGCACCUAAAGCAUCUCGAAAUCACCGAAAAUACAUCAUAAUUAAUAAUUAGAAUAGUAUUAUACACAAAAUCCUAAUAUAUAUAUAUAUAUAUAUAUAUAUAUAUAUAUAUAUAUAUAUAUAUAUAUAAUUCGUGGGAUUCCAGAAUAAGUUUUUACACUUUAAUGCACCUUAUUAGUAUUGUUCUCGAGUCCCAACUGAAUAUGCCCUUAUAAAUGGUUUCUAUACGACUUAUUCCUAAUGCCAUCUCAUGCAGGUUAGCUUUUUUAGACAAUUUUUCAGAUCAGUUCGCAAGGCUGAUUACUUAGCAAUGUGCCAUGGUUUCAUUACCGUAAGUAUUAUCGGCUAGGAAAUGAGAAAUUACUGAAGAAACUAUUGUCAGCUUUGUUGAUUAUCUUGCUUUUGCAAGUUCAUUUAGCUCCAGGCAGUAAGUAUAACGACAUCAAAGGAUGGUUGAUAGGAUUUUUUUUUUUCUUUCUUUUUUUUCUCUUUAUAGCUUCGUGCUCUCUCCUUUUUUUUUUUAAGUGGUCCUAUGCUUGUUAAUUUAUAUUUUUUCUUUUCAAUGGACAAUUUAGAUUGUCUUCUCAGUUUUUUCGACAUAAAAUGAAAAAAUNAAAUAUUCUAAAAGAAACUAAAUACAUAUCCAAUUUAUUUUGCAAACAAAUCAUAUAUAAAAGCAUUAUGAUUACAUAUAUAAUAACAUUAUGAUCAGGACCGGGAAAAAAAAUAAAUUGCUAAAUUAUUUGCAGAAACAAGCUGGAAGGCAAAAAGAAUUAGUAUAUAUAUCAAAAUUAAAUCAAAGAGCUUACAAAUUCUUCGCCAAUCACUCUCAGAUCAAACGUACGUAGGUAGGCAAUUUCCUGAGACAUUUUAAAAAAAGUAAUAAGAAACCAAAUUGAAAUUCAAACCAAAAAAAAAGUUGAAACCAAAUCUGAGAAGGAAAAAUCACCAGCAAAGAAAUAGAUUUUUUUUGCCACAAAUAAAAUUUUUACAGAGGCAUAUUAUAUAGGCAUCAAGAAGGAAACGUGGAGAAUGAAUUCGGACCAUUUUCGUGACCGGAGGGGAUCAAUAAUCUGAAACGAAGCGUCGCUAACGGGAUCGGCGCGACGGGAAGAAGGGCCGACCGUAAAAACAAAGGGAAGAACUUGCCAUCAAGCCUUUCCACUGCUUUCUGAGCCUCAUCAGCAUAUUUAUACCUCAGGAACGCAAAACCACGCGAUUCCCCAGUCCUAUAGAUCAAACAUAUUAAAAAAAAUGAAUUAAAACAUUAACAAAAAGUAGCAAAAACAUCCAAACCCUAGAAAUCCGCACCCAAGAGCUGAUCUAACUGAAAAAACCCUCAAAAAAAACACCAAAUCUCGAAAUUUUAAUUAGGUAGGCACCUGCAAUCUCUAGGGAUGAACACGUCCACCACCUUGCCUUACCGAUCAAAGAGGGGGAAUAGAUCAUCCGCCGUGGUACCUACCAAAAAUCGACUGCCGUGGUACCUACCAACACUACAACAAAAACGGUCUAUAGCGACACUUUUAAAUGUAGGUACAUGUCAAAAAAGUGCUGCUAGCUAAAAUUACCGACACUUUUAAAAAGUGUUGCUAUAUGUGGGGUCGCUAGGGAUAUAGUGACAGUUAAAGAGUGUCGCUAUAACCUAAAAGAGUGCUGCUAAUUUACCAACACUUAUUUAAGCAUUUAGCAACCGCCGAAACUCUAUCUCGUUGACUGCGGUGGCGGAGGAGGACGACAGGAAAGGCUCUUCGUCUAGAAUUUCAGUGGAUUGAGUGAAGAGAGAAGAAAAUAUGGUAAUUGAUUUUUCUUUUUUUUUUUCUUUUCUGUUUGUAAUCGGGUCAAAUGGACUGGGUGUGGUGGGUUGAGUAGAGUAAUCUUUUAUUUUUAGUUGGAUUGGGCUUUAUAUUUAGGCAUAAGUAGAUGUUUUUUAAAGUUUUAGCAUAAAUGGUACACUUACUCAAAAGUGUCCCAAACAUGUGUCCCUAUAACCUAAUUCUGUUGUAGUGCAAAAAGCAGUCGAUUUGUAGAGAGGGCA
RNAcentral lists this long non-coding RNA (45497 nucleotides) under Ananas comosus (pineapple). RNAcentral describes it as "long non-coding RNA (ACOM_LNC004028)". Lineage: Eukaryota; Viridiplantae; Streptophyta; Magnoliopsida; Poales; Bromeliaceae. The record is from RNAcentral.